This 51699-nucleotide long non-coding RNA is filed under the name Ananas comosus (pineapple). RNAcentral describes it as "long non-coding RNA (ACOM_LNC013507)". The record is from RNAcentral. Lineage: Eukaryota; Viridiplantae; Streptophyta; Magnoliopsida; Poales; Bromeliaceae.
UGGUGGCCUCUGACUAAGGUGCGAUACCUUUACCUCGGUCGUUCGCCGGCUCGCUCGGUCCCGGCUCUGUGGAAAUAGUGGGGUGAGAACUACAACAAAGUUCCCAGUGGGUUCGGCCUCAACAUCACCGACUUUCCCACUAGGACUAACUCAGGUAUAAUAGAAAGGAUAAGCUAAAAUAUAGUAACCAAUCUACAACAUGAUGCUAAUAUGCCUGAACAAAAGCAAGGAAUAUGCUGAACAUUAACAUAUGCAGAUUAUGCAAGUUCUUUCGUUCUUUAUCUUCACACUUUGUUCUUUGUUCUUUGCUCUUUGUUCUUUAUUCUUUAAUCUCAAGGCUAACUCGGGGGUUUCGCCACAUUAACUUGCUUCACAUUAAGUCCAUCAUCGCAGAAACUCACCCGCUAGGACCGUCCUUCGGGUUUACUCCAACCCGUGAUGCAUAACUCCGGAGCGCAUCGCCCAAGGGGGAGCGACCGCCCUCGAGCACGGAACUCAUAGCAAGUAUGAUCAUAUCCUUAACUCAAAGGAUUUAUAAGUUCAAUCUUGACUUUACACUAGCUCUACUGUUCAUUACAUCACUUUAUGUUGCUAACUCUAGCAAUCGUUAUUCUUUACUUUUCUUUUACUCUUGCCAUCCUUAGCAUUCUUAUUCUUUACAUUUCUUGUUCUUAUUGCCCCACUUCACUUUAACUUUAUACAUUGUCAUUUUCAUCAUUCUUUACAUCACUUUGGUUCUUUGGCUCACACUAACUCUAGUGUCACUUUACUUUACGUUUUCAAAUGCCACUCGAUCUAUGUCAUUGUGCCACUCAGUUCUUUUGGCUCACUUUAGCACUCACAUUUUUCUCUCAUGCAUACAUAUAGGGUUCUAACAUUCAUAAGGUUCUCAUUCAUCACAUUAUGCAGGUUGUACUCACAAUCAUGCAACAUUAUAUUUUCAUCAUCACUUUACCCUAAAAUGCAUGCAACAACAUAUAUAUAUAUAUGCUCAAAUGAAUGACACAUUAGGCAUAGAGAGAAGUUCAACGAGUUUGAGAAGCACCACCCACCUCGUAGGCUUUCAAAGGUGCUCCGAUGAUUUUCUUGGGAUUUUUAGACCCUUCGUUCUUUACCUGCGACAUAACGAACCCUUAUUAGGCCAUUUUGCCCAUAACUUUUGAUUGUCCUUUCGUAUACUUCAACGGAGCGCACCAACGCGUUCGUUGGGUCCCCAAUUAGGUUUUUAGAGGGUCAAUUGCACUUAGAAAUCCUCAUGAGCAAAAGCCCCAAUUUGGUGCCCUAGCUCCAACACAUAUCUCAAACCUAGGGUUUGAUCUCAAAGAGAAGCAAAAGUAGCUUCACUAUACUCUAAAUAGUCCAUUAGAACCAUUCUUAGGCUUUCCAAAACCCUAAGAAUGGUUUUGAUCUUUAAAUAAGCAAAAAGAAAGCUUACCUUGUAAGAAUGGUUUUAUAUCUCAAACGUAGCACUCACAUUUUUCUCACCUUGAGCUCAACCAUGGUUUUGAUCUUUAAAGAAGCAAAAAGAAAGCUUCAAACUACUAGAUAUUCCAUUAGAAACCAUUUCUAGGUUCAUUCAAACCCAUUUCUAGGGUUUUACUACAUUAGGGUUCAAAGCUUACCUUGUAAGCUUCCUUUUCUUGCACUAGAGAAGAAGGAGAUGGAGCCUCUUUGCUCCAAAAGCUUCUUCUUCACCUUCUUUUUCUUCUUUUCCUUUCUUUUCCUUUGCCUUCUUCUUCUCCUUCUUUGUAUUCUAGAGAGAGAAAGAGAGGAGAGAGUGUGAGAGGGAAAAAAUGAGAGAAAAUCUCAUUAGGCCCCAUAACAUAGCCAUUGGGUUGCCAAAAUGCAAAUAAACCCCUCAAUUUUCACCUUAAUACACUGCCCGAACUAGGCAGUUCGCGCAGGCGGGGUCCGGUCUCUCCUUUAGGGACCGGUUCCCGAACGUCGUCCCAGCGCAGCCAGAGCUGCUGCGCGCAGUGCAACCAGUCUCUCCUUGCGGGACCGGUCUCUCGGGGACCGGUCUCUCAGGUAGGGACCGGUUCCCGAGAGCUAGUUUCUCAGGACUUAGCCGAUUUUUCGGCUGUCUCAUUUCAUACCCGUUCGGGGACCGGUCUCUCCCACCAGGGACCGGUCCCCGAGAGUUCAAAAUCUGCAGCUUUGCAGAUUUGAUUCUAUAGCUCUCGAAAACCUCCCAUAACUCACUUUUACUCAUUUUAACACCUUCGGACUUUCCGAAGUGUACCGUCUUCGCACUUUGGUCAAUUUGACUAAAGUUCGACAUUUAUUUUUCGAAUUUUCGGUAUAUUACAGAUAGCCUAUAUUUCCACUCCACCUUCUCUUUCCCUCAUUUCUCUUCUCUCAACUCUCCCUACACCUUAGAUAGAAAAGGAGAAGAAGAAGGAGGAUGAGAAAAAGGAAGGAAGGAGAAGAAGUAGACCAACAAGACGACUUGGAGCAUCCUUCUCUCCCUCUCUUCUCCCCUUGGGUGCUUGAAGGCUUGGACUUGGAGCUUGCUAAAGAGGAGAUCUUCACUCUCGGAGCUUGGAUUGGAGCUUCUAAAGAGUUUGGUUGCUUGUUUCUCCCCUCUAGACCUAGUUUUGAUGGUUUUUGGGAGGUGGAACCCUAGAAUGGAAAAUCUAGGGUUUAUUUGGGGCUUUUUGAUUAGAGGCUUUUUGAGAUAAUCUAAUUGGAUUAGAACCUUGGUUUAGGUUGCUUUGGAAGGGAUCUAGCUUCCAUUUGAGUUUUGGAAAGGGAUUUUUACACUAUAGGUGAGAUUUUGGCCCUUUUCCUUAGUAGAUUAAUGUUUGAGCUUGUAGUUGAUCGUAAGGUUCGUUUAACCUUUGUUCUUGUGCCUCUAGGGUACUAAGAGACUAGAGGACACCUUCGUUGGAGCUUACGAAGGGUUUCGAGAUGGUUCGGUGGGUUUGACCUAGCCUAGUAUAUGAGAAAUCCUCAUAUCCUAUGUUUUAUGCUUCGUAAAGUAGAAAUUCAUACAUUUUCAUGAUAAAUGUAAUUCUUGUGAAUUUUAGAAUGCUUAACAUCCCUACGUCAUGUAUAAUGAAUUUCGGACUUCUAUAUAGUAGAGGGAGAGUUGCAUGUGAAGCUUGCACUAGCAUUGGGCAUUCUUAUGUUGGACUCGGGACCAUAUUUCUUACAAUAAAAUUGAGUAUUGCUUCAUGCAUUUUAACCUAUACCUAAUUGAGACAUAAGGGACUUUAAUAAGCUUUAAGGGGCUUGGGGACUUGUACCACUUGAGAGUGAUUGGGCUAAUAUCAUAAAGGGGCAUUGAGCUCGGGUUAAAUGAGAAUCUAGUACUAAUGUCAUAAAUGGAACAUAGAUUAUGAAAUGUGUUAACUUAUAACAAGCUUAAGUGUCAUAAAGAGGCACUAAGCAUAGGGAGUGUUGGAACAUCACUUUGAGACAUUGAACUAGAUCUUUGAGAUGCUAGUGACUUUACCAUGUUAGAGACAUGAUGAUUGAAUUUUUGAGACGUUAAUUACGCUUGCUUGCCAUUUGUGCUCAUUCGCACAUGCUUGUGAGGGUCGCUCCCUACAAGCCGGCACUCCGGAGUUGGCCUACGCGACUUAUGCUCGCUCGUACGGUAUCGAGAAACCUACGGGGUCGGGAGGGAUAGACUCAUUCCUAGAGUGGGAAUGCUGGAGCUACCACCGACACUUAGGUGGCACAAGCUGGACUAUACUAUGUAGGUUCUAGAACAUGUUGGAAACAACGACAUUGAACGGAAAAUAAAAAUCACUAUUAGAUAGGUUUUGUAGUUGGAUUACUUUAACAUGCUUAAAGCAUAGUGUUAGGACAUGUAGUAUGCCAACAUGUAGUAUGCUUGACAGUUUAUUUGUUGCAUCAUAGUAUACUUGGUUGCUAUGAUAGAUCAUAAUCAUCAUGCAUUGAUAGAACGGAUCAUAAUAUUUACUUGUUGCCAUGUCGGGACAUUGUUUUAUGCAUUGGACAUACUUCAUUAUGAAAGAGUAAAUGUACAAUACAUUGACAUCGUAAUGCUUAUGGUAUAGUAAUUUUAGUGAACAUACAUGCUUUCCUCCCGCGGUUAUCAUUAUUAUUAUUGUUGCUUAUCGUACUUACCCUUUUCUUUUGGGGCCUAGUGGUGCAUUGAGCUGAGGUCAGUAAUUGCCCACUAGGAACUAUAAAUUAUAUUUCUCACGCCCUUUGUUUUAUGUUUUUAUUUUCAGAGCUUUCCACUCCGGGCGAGGCUAGGGACCGCGGAAAGGGUAUCGCCUCGAGCUAGCUAGCUGUCGAGGACGCGUUGAUAGGUGGUCUACCUCUCGUCGUUUCUUUUUGGAGAGGUAGAGAGUUGUACCAUGUAUAGAGACCACCCAUUUUUUUUGGUGUACUUCAGGAAAUGGUUAUUGUAUUACUUUAUAUUUACUUUAGUUGAGUAGUUCUCUUCUUCUACUGCUGUUGCUAGUAUUAGUGGUUAUACUUGCUCUGAUAUCACUAGUUAUUGUUCCUCCUUUUCUUCAUAUUCCUUGUUUUGUUUCCGCCCUUUAUAUGUGUAGACAUAUGGCGGGUCUGGGCGCGCUACUGGGAGGGCCUCCGCCAGUCCCGGGGCGUGACACUGAGGGCCCGAUGGGUUAGCCACAAGAUUUUGUAAAGAAAAUGUAAACUUGCAUUCAUCAUGAGCAUCUCAUUGAGCAUAUGAUUGAGUUUAUUAUUCAGGCAUAUUAGCUGCAUUUGUUAGUUGGUUACUAUCUAUUUUUUCUUUUAUUAUGCCUGAUUUAGACCUAGUGGAAAAGUCGGCAAGAUCGGGGCCGAACCCACUAGGAACUUUGUUGUAAUUCUCACCCCACUAUUUCCACAAAGCCGGGGCCGAGCGAUCCGGCGGACGAUCGCGAUAAGGGUAUCGCACCCUAGACAGUGACCGCCCGAGAUACUUUCACAUUUUGUAGUUGCAUACCCCUUUUAUAUCAUCUUUUGUAUUUGAUGAUUUUAGUUGUAUCAAAGACAUUUGAAUGAAUGAUGUAAAGGAUUACAAUUUAAAUGCAAAUGGUUGUGUUUUGAGGAAUAUGUGAUUUAUAAAAGAAAUGAUGCAAAGUAGUAAAAGAAUUUGGUAAAAGUAGUAUGCAUGUAUAUGAUUUAAAGUUAAUCAUAGUACUUGUAUGUUGAAUAAUUAGUUCUUUCACUUUAGCUAUUGCUUGCCCUCAUGCAAGCCACGGUGUAUGCUUCCGUUUUGUACAAAAUUCAUACUCUAUUUGUACAGGAUGUUGAGCCUUGGGCGGACAGGGGAGACUUUGUCCGUUCGGCGUCUGUUCGACGCCCUCGAGCCGGCCAAAAGGAUCGGGCUCGGGGCGUGACAUAGAGGACCUUGUGAAUGAGGUUAGAAGUACGGAGUUGGUGUCCUCGACUCUAAUAAUCAUUGGCAAGAUAGUGGCUUUGUCGCCGCUUUGGCCGCAAUCAUCUAACAUGAAGAGUCGCAGACUGCACAGCCAUGUGCAACACAGACACAAGGAUAAAUCUGACUUUUGUUUGCAGUUCUUAUAUUUUGUGAAAAUUAGGCACUGCAAUAGGAUAUCUAAUGCGCAUUGUCCUCUCAAAGAGGUAUUUUCUCGACUUUACGGAUCAAAGAUGAAUUAAUCAGAGUAAGAGGAUCAAAAUCUGCGAAUAGCAUAUGAAUUAGAUAGAUUGAGGAACAGAGAGCUGAAGGAAAAGUGUCACGCCCCGGGGCCGAUUUUAAAAGCCAUUUUGAAAACAGAGUUGCGGAAGACGUGCCUUUUUUUUUUUUCAACCUGGCCCAUGCGAUGUACAGAUCCGCCACAAAUACAAGGUUCCUCGGUCCACUCGGACAGAGUCUCCUUUGUAUUUGCACGGCGUACCAACGAUACAACAGGAUCUCAACUACAAUCUACAAUUACCAAUCAACAACCAAUUCAUGAUAUGCAUUUUCAUACAGCUAACAAUCCCUAGAGAUGAUGCAUGCCUCUAAGCACUCCUUAGGUGCUAGAUGAUGCCAUGCACAGUACAACAAUCAUCCUAUUUAAAAGUGCUCCCCACCCGGAAGCUAGCGAUCCUUAGAUAUGAUGCAUGCCUCUAAGCACUCCUUAGGCACUGGAUGAUGCAAUGCACAGUACAACAAUCAUCCUAUUUAAAAGUGCUCCCCACACAGAAGCUUUUAUUUUUAAAAUCUAAUUCAUUCAUUCAUGAAAACUAUUCGAAAAUCUUUUGAAAAUUGUUUCCCACACGGAAACUAUAUUUUGAAAACCAGCUACCUCGAGGGGUACAAGGACCAAAAACCAUAAAACUAGAACCAUAAAUCUAUAAACCCCAAUCUCAGAUCCACAAUCACAAGCAUAAAUAAUGAAAACAUCCACAACUAAAACCAGUUCACAACAUUCAAGCAAUCAGAGGAUUAUCUAACUGAACAAUUUAUUUAAACUACUAAAAGCAGGAAUGAAAUAACCAGGGUGAUGGUCGCUACACCAGACUAGCUAGAUCGUCUUCUCGUCGAGCCCAAGUACCAACUCCAAGCUCGAAUCACCUGGGGAAAUGGGGGGUGAGAAACCGUAACCAUGAUUUUCCAGUGGGUACGGCAGAGCCACGAAGGCAAGUCGUAAUCACCGGAAACCAAAGGAGAUAGAUAAACAAGUAUAUAUAUGCUGAUAUGAAACAGAACUACAGAUAUGAAUAUGAUGUGAUAUAAGAGCAACUACAGUAGUAAUAGAAACGGGAUAAUAACUGAGCAAGAAUGAAACUACUACUGUAACAAAAAACUCAACUGAUCAGAUGCCUCAAAGGUGAAUAGUCCAAAACCAAACCUAAUCUGAUACUACUAUAUUGGUCCGCAGACCUCAAGCGUUGCCUGUCACAGAGCAGACACUGCGAGCUUAUUCAUGCGUCACCGACGACCUAUCCGGAUACGUACACCCCUUGGAUGGUGGCCAAACCAACCUGGUGUCUAGAAUACACAGUGCUGUGACUAAAUCAUGCUGGUAUGCUCAAAACAAAAAUCGACAAAAAGAGACCGGUACCAUGGCCGAAGCCAGUGCAAGGGCGUACAACGAACCACGAUCAACCAGAUCGAAACACAUGACAAGAGAGUCGAUGUGUUGCCUGGACCCAAGGUCCACAGAGAUGCAAUAUACGAAUGCAAGCCUGCUCUACAUGUCUAUCCACAACUAUACAAAUGCAAUCAAUGGAAUACGAUAAGCAACGAUAAACAAACAACUGACAUGUAGAGACUACGAUACUGAAUGAAAGAAUAGAGGAAGGGAGAAACGAUCUCACCGACUACUAGCUCGAAGCACCCACCUGACACUGUCGCGUCGAAACACUGGGUACGCACAAGUCAACCGAACCUACGAAGAUCCAACAGGUCAGUAACAAACCAACUCACCUGAAGUAUACUAUCUUACAAACCCCCACACAGAUCCCCGAAUCGGUUUCCCAAAACCGAUCAUCGUAACUAACCGGAAGUCCCAAAAAUCACACCGGGACGCCGUCGGGACCCACUGAGUGUCCCGAAACUCACCGACUCGUGCCACGAGUCACCUGCUGCCCCUAAACACUCCGAUUUGGAUGGUUUGGCAGCAAACACAAGAUAACACCACUACACAAUUAUCGUCGGAUAAUUGUACGAAUUCGGGUUUCCGAAAGUGUCUAUUUCGACACCGGAACCCACCGUCGCUCACCCAUCAUCACCGAACCCACAAAAUGAUAAUGGUGACGAGCCAACAAGGCUCAGCGAUAAUUUACAGGAUAACCAAACCUCGUUGGAAGAAAUCCGAACUGAAAUCGUGUUCUUUCGGCAAAUUUUGCCGAAAAACGCACCGGAAUCGACUUUUUGAUAUCCGCAAAAGCUAUUAGAUCAUGGACAAUUAGUCCGAAGGUCACCAUACACACCAACGCACUGCCCACAGUAGCCACAAGGUGUACAAAUGCAUAAAAGUCCCUAUGUUUACAUAAAAUCCAUCAUUUUAUGUAAAUCGGGCGACUUCUAUGACUCGUUCUCACAAACCGAGGACUUCUAAGUUCCACCGAGACACGUACUGACAGGUCUCGACGUACCGGAGGCCGUGCUCAUGGUCUGGAGCGCAACAGCUCACUGUGGGAAGCGCGGGAGCAGCCUGAAAAUUCUGUGAACAGCCUGCAGUCGGGGAAAAACGCACCAAGCAGAACGAUACGACAUCCGCUGAUCCAAAAUAAGGUGAGCACUGUGAUCAGCACUGAUUCACAAUCACCGUGCUCACCUCCAGAGGCAUCAGAAUAGCCUCGGAUCACCGGCAAAGUGCGUUCAAACCCGCAACAGCAGCCAAAAAGGCUCUAUAGGGUCGACAAUGCCGAAAUAGCGGAACGGAUUCUCCCCGACAGAAACUAAGGUGAGCACGAUGAUCAGCAAUUUGCCACGAUCAUCGUGCUCCCUUCCGUAGAGAUCGGGGAGGCUCGGAAAGCUCGGAACAGCAAACCGCCAAGGAAUAGCCCUAUUUCGGGCUUGGCCGGAGCAAGCUUGCUCCGGCCAGCUUCCGGCAUCACGGUGUGGUGCCCGCAGGCCAGGAAUGGAUGCGGGGGAGGUGAGGAGUGUGGUGCUCACCUCAGUUGGCGGCGAGGAGCGGCGGCGGCGACAGUGGAGAGACUUGAGCCCGCACGUGCAAGGCCUCGGGUUCCAAAGUAGCUGCGGCCACGGCGGCGGUCGGGGCACUCAGGGACGGCGGCAGAGGGUCGUCUGAGGUCAACGGAAGGCGGCAUGGGUAGUUUCGGGCGGCGGCGACGCGAGGGAGUGCUCGCAAAGUUGUCUCGGCCCGAACAGAUCAGGGGCGGCCGCGGGUUGGCCGAGACGGCGGCGACGACCCGCAGAGGCGGCGGCAACCGGCUAGGAAGGUCGGUGAGGCCCAAGGGAAGGCCGCGGGAGCGACCCCAAGUGGCUGCGGCGCGGAGAAGAGGCCACAUAGUCAGCUUGGUCUGGGCUCGGCCAAGCCGGACGCAGGAUGUAGCAGCGGCAGCAGCCGCGCGCAGAGGCGACGGCGGUCGGCGGGGAGGCUCGCCACGGCACGGGGGCGAUGCCGGCAAGGUGCAGGGAGGCAAUGCAGCCUCAGCCAAGGCUCCAACCCAAGAAGACCAGAGGGGUGGAGAGAGAAAUGGAGAGGGAGGGAUGGAGAGGAAGGCUGCGGUUGCUGCUGGCCGGCCGGGGCUAGGUCGGCGGCUGCCGGGAGUGGCGCAGCAAGGGCAGGGCAACCAAGGGAGGCGACUGGGCGUUUAGCUCGGGCUAGGGUUAGGGUUUUCAUAGUGAAAACCCUAAAACAAGCAUAUAUACAAGGUACAAUUUGCGAGUUAGCCCACCAAACCUCAGUAUUUAGUACUGAGUCCCUCACAGCGCGUGUACAACGCAAGAAUACCCCUCUACGUGCGAUCUCAUACAAAUGGUACAUAAAAUGUCGCGACUUUUGCGAAAAUACAGUUUUGCGAUCACCGACCUCUCCUCGAUCAACGCGCAAUCUCCGUAGAUCCGUCCGUCAGAUUUGCAAACGGAUCACGCCAGUGCGAUCAGCACGACGGAGACAAUAAAGCUAGGAUUUUGUUUCACCUUAUCGAUCACGGAUUUGCGACGAAAUCCGCUUUCUCUCCAAAAGGCCAAGAUGACGCACAAAUACAUAUAAAACACGUAUUUUUGGAUUUCCUCGAAAUCCAUACAUGAAACUCAAAAUCCGCCAGCGCCAUUAGUCCCAGAACAGCUGAACCGGUCGAAACGAGCUAUUGGAUCGCUAUGAACGGAGUCCGAUACGAGCCUGAAGCCAACUCUACGCAUUGAGUUUUCCGGAAAAUCAAGUUACUAUUCACUUUAAGUGAAAUUGGAAAUCACGUAGAAUCUCCGUUCUAACUUGUUUUCUCUCAAAACUUGACGAGUGCUUUUGUAAUUAAAUUACACACAAAAACAUCAUCAACAGAGAGUUUAACUAUACUGUCUCGCUCAUACUCUCCUACGGUACGGUUGCCUUGCUUGAGGCGUUCUAGCUCGCGCUCCAGACUCUGCUUGGUGCUGUCCAUGAAGUACUACUCGUAAAGGAGUCUCCGGAACUCCUCCCAGCUUGGAUAGAUGCUCCCAAGUUUGCGCUCGAAGUGCCUGAUCCACCACGAAUAUGCAUCCUUCUCAAGACAGUGAGCAGCUAGAGGGACGCGAUCCAGCUCCUCGAUGUGUAGAUCAUGAAACAGUUUCUCCAUAUGAGUAACCCAAUGCUCGAUCACCGAGGCGUCGUCGCUCUUUCCUGCAAACUUCGGCGGAUCGAACUUUCGAAACUCCACCAGCUUCGCCCAUAUGCGGGUGCCUUCCGCUGCAGGGGUAUCAGCACCCCCAGCGGGAACCGUCGUGGUGGCCGUCGUCGUCGUAGUAGUGACAGCUGGAGGUACGGCAGGCGCAUGCGUCGCGGGAGGAUCCGCGUUCACCGAAGUGUCCUGUGCCGAAGGUGGGACCGGGGUAGCAGUAGCCGCAGCCUGUUGCUGCAAGAACUGCUGGAACAAACCAGAGAGGGUCAUGAGCUGACCCCUCAAAUCAGCUACCUGGGCCUCGAGCUGCUGGGCGCGAGUACCACGCAGCGGCUCCGUGCCCGACUGCUCCCCAACACCCCCACUCGUAGGAACACGAGUACUACCCGAUGCCUUUGCACCAGCACAUCCACCAUCACGACCCGGACGAGGGGGUCUACCACGAGCCAUCUGCAAGAGAAAACACCGUCAAGCGAACCAAUCGACUCGACAAACAAACUCACCUGGACUCAAACCCCAUACACCGCACUCGCGUGCCUAUAUGCCUUAGGUCUUCCUAUGGGUCAACCUAAUCAAUGGUUCAGUUAGAAACUUGUAAAUGUAGUUGUAGUUGUUUCACUCUCUAAUACCAUCUUAAUCUGUUACACCCCAGGGCCGAUUUUAAAAGCCAUUUUGAAAACAGAGUUGCGGAAGACGUGCCUCUUUUUUUUUUCAACCUAGCCCAGGCGAUGUACAGAUCCGCCACAAAUACAAAGUUUCUCCGUCCACUCGGACAGAGUCUUCUUUGUAUUUGCACGGCGUACCAACGAUACAACAUGAUCUCAACUACAAUCUACAAUUACCAAUAACAACCAAUUCAUGAUAUGCAUUUUCAUAUAGCUAACAAUCCUUAGAGAUGAUGCAUGCCUCUAAGCACUCCUUAGGCGCUGGAUGAUGCCAUGCAUAGUAUAACAAUCAUCCUAUUUAAAAGUGCUCCACACCCGGAAACUUUAUUUUUAAAAUCUAAUUCAUUCAUUCAUGAAAACCAUUCGAAAACCUUUUGAAAGCUGUUUCCCACACGGAAACUCUAUUUUGAAAACUAGCUACCUUGAGGGGUAGAAAUCCAUGAUGUAUAAAUCCGUAAAAUACGCAAAUCCAAGGACCAAAAACCAUAAAACUAGAACCAUGAAUCUAUAAACUCCAAUCUCAGAUCCACAAUCACAAGCAUAAAUAACGAAAACAUUCACAACUAAUACCAGUUCACAACAUUCAAGCAAUCAGAGGAUUAUCUAAUUGAACAAUUUAUUUAAACUACUAAAAGCAGGAAUGAAAUAACCAGGGUGAUGGUCGCUAUACCAGACUAGCUAGAUCGUCCUCUCGUCGAGCCCAUGUACCAACUCCAAGCACGAAUCACCUGGGGAAAUGGGGGGUGAGAAACCGCAACCAUGGUUUUCCCAGUGGGUACGACAGAGCCACGAAGGCAAGCCGUAAUCACCGAAAACCAAAGGAGAUAGAUAAACAAGUAUAUAUAUGCUGAUAUGAAACAGAACUACAGAUAUGAAUAUCAUGUGAUAUACGAGCAACUACAGUAGUAAUAGAAACGGGAUAAUAACUGAGCAAGAAUGAAACUACUAUUGUAACCAAAAACUCAACUGAUCAGAUGCCUCAAAGGUGAAUAGUCCAAAACCAAACCCAAUCUGAUACUGCUAUAUUGGUCCGCAGACCUCAAGCGUUGCCUGUCACAGAGCAGACACUGUGACUUAUUCAUGCGUCACCGACGACCUAUCCGGAUACGUACACCCCUUGGAUGGUGGCCAAACCAACCUGGUGUCUAGAAUACACAGUGCUGUGACUNUCACACAGGAAACAGCUAUGACCAUGAUUACGCCAAGCUAUUUAGGUGACACUAUAGAAUACUCAAGCUUUUAGUUGUUCCAAAACCAGCUUUUCCUACCAAUAUAUUGAAAAGAAUGCAUCAACGAACACAAAAAGGACAGAACAAAUUAAAUCGAAGUUGAAAAGAUAAUAUAGCUUGCAAUCUAUUCCUCCUGCCCAUCCCUAAGUUCAUUAUCUUAUUGACCUCUUCCAUUGUGGUGCCUAAGAACUCAUCUCCUCGUGGCUUCUUGGAGGGCACACCCCUCCAGCAACAAACAGCACCAACAACCAUUUAGGGGGAAAGAGAGAGAGAAAGAGAGAGAGGGGGAGAGAAAGAGGGAAGGGGAAGAGGGAGAGAGGGGGAGAGAGAGAGAGCCGCGCCGCGACCCGCGCCAGCGCUCGCUCGAGCCGCCCACUCACGCUGCGCUUGUCCGUGGGGGGGAGAGGGAGAGGGAGAGAGGGGGAGAGAGAGAGAGAGUUGCGCCUGCGCCCGCUCGAGCCGCCAGCCCGCGCCGCGCGCCCACGCCGUGCCUGCGAAUGCUACCAUGUGCGCGCGACCCGCACACGCCCGUGCUGCCACGUGCGCACGACCCACGCCCAGCGCCCGCUCGCGCCUCUGUCACGCCCCGGGACCCGGCAUAGGUUCGCCCGCUGCGUGCCCAGACCCGCCAUAUGCCUGCACAUAUAAGGCGUCUACAAAAAAAGAGAUAUGAAAGUAAGAAGAAAUAAAGUCACUAGAGAUAUCAGAGCUACUAACAACAAGUAGAGAAAGGGGGAAAGUAAACUACUAAACAUAAAGAUAAAGUUAGUACAAAAGUCAUCACAAAAGUACUACAAAAAGGGUGGUCUCUAUGCAAGGUACAACUCUCAUCUUCUCCCAAAAGAAAAUAAAGAAGAAGUGGGCCACCUAUCGAACGUCCCUCGCUCACAAGCUAGUUCGUGGCGAUUCCCUUUGCGCGGUCCCUAGCCUCGCCUGGAGUGGAAGGCUCUGAAAUAAAAACAAGAAACAGAGGGCGUGAGAACUAUAAUUUAUAGUUCCCAGUGGGCAAUUACUGACCUCAGCACUAAGCACCACUAGGCCCCAAAAGAAAAGGGUAAGUACGAAAACCGCAAAUAAAAAUAAAUAGAUUGCAUUAGUGAAAGCAUAAAUAAAAUGCUGAAUUACUAUGUCGCAAGUAAACAUGAUGUCAAUGUGUUGUACAUCUACUCUAUCAAAAAUGAAGUACGUCAUAUCCCAACAUAACGAGCAAGUAGAUAUCAUAAUGUCACGCCCCGCCCUGAAAACACUACCAAUUUGGCAUGAUUCGGCCGCGGCGACAGACCGCCGAACGGACAGCACCUCCCUUGCUCGCCCAAGGCUCAACCACAGGAAUGUGUACAAGAAUUUACCCAGGACUUUAAAUUCUAAACAUACACAUUCAACGAGGGCACAAACAGUGCCAACAAUAAGAAGAGCAAGUAAUCCACAAGAUAUACGAGUGAAAUGAAGAGAGUACUUUACUAACUAUUACAAUAGUUACAUUCUUUACCUUUACAUCAUUUUCAAAAAUGAAUACAUUUGAUCCUCAAAAUACAUAGCUCUCCAACCUCACCUACAUGAAUCUCUCUCAAUACAUAGGUGUACUAAUGCAAAAGGGAAAGCUACUACACUACCACGGCCUCACUGAUCGGGCGCGAUGCCCUUGCCGCGGUCCUCUCUCUGCAGCCCUGAACCUACCACUGGAAAUAGAGUGGGGUGAGAACUAUCUUCCAUAGUUCCCAGUGGGCUCGGCCACCGACUCUGCCGAUCUCCCCACUAGGUCCAAGUGGGCACAAGUAACAACAAAUAGAUAGAUAGAUAUGUAUCUGAAAGCUGUAAAUGCAGUAGUAGGAAAACUAUGCUACUAUGCCCAUAAUCAUGAAUAUGAAUGCAUGCAUCAUAUAAUAAAGGUUUGCUACCAUGCUAACAAAUUCGAUCCAUGUUCGAAUAGUAAUGUUCAAUAUGUUCAAUGACAUUUAUUAACCUUUAACCUUUCAUUUACCCAAUCUGUGGCGAGGCCCUAGGGUGAACAACGAAAGUUGUGUACCAUAGUCAGUAGCUAGGUAUGGAUAGGGGGGCAUGGAAUACAUAUGAUGAGCUACAACAAUGGUUAAAGAGCCUAACAUAGCCAGGUUAAGAGAUAAUUGAGCAUGCCAUGACGUUGUUAGGAUUUCAUAUAGGCCCUUAUGGCCCUGGCCCAUAAAUGGACCUUUAUGAGCCUCUAAAAUGUCCUUAAGGCCAUGACCAAUGCCCCACGCCCAUAACUCAUCUUUCAAUCCCAAAGUGGGGAGGGAGCUCCAAGUGCACCCAAGCCCGGGACCGUCUGCGGACCUCCAUGUGGUCCGGACCUCCAAGUGGUCCUAGUCGCGCGACACUCCGGAGUACUCGACGACAAUCCCCUCCAUGUGGGGAUUGGAUGGCUAUGCCACCCUAAACGCAGACUGUGAGCUAGAUCUAUCCUCUCCAUGUGAGGAUACACUGUAACUAGGGUCAACACCCAAUCCAAUCCUCUCCAAGUGAGGAGGCUCUACAACUAGAGUCAAUAACCCAAUCGAAUCCUCUCCAAGUGAGGACGCCCUAUACUAGGGUCAACGACUAUCGCGGAAUCAUCGGUUCCCGACAUUCAUGCAAUGCUAUUUAGUUUUCUAAAUUCAUUGUUCACAAGGCAUUUUCUAAGGGAUCCACCUAUCCCUAGGUCCAUCGACCUCUAGUGUUAUUUACACUACAUUAAUGCCACUCGUUAUCAUUCAAUGUUUGGAUGCCACUCGUUUGUUCUUUAACAAUAACACUACUUUCUAUGUCAUCAAUACCCCCAUCGGGUUCAUCUCUUUUCUUUCGCACCAUAGGAUUCACGUCUCGACCCAAUCCUCACCUAUCUAAGUUACCAAGCGUUCCAAGUACACUAGGUUAUCAAUUAGAAAGCAUAAGGAAUGGAGCUACUAUGCAAUCCUACAAUGCAACAUGAAGAGAUGAGAUUAAAUGCAAUCUAAGACAUAGAAAGGAGUUCGAAAGUUUCGGAUGACACCCCCCACCUUUAAUCGAUGUAGAGGUUUCGGAAAUCUCUCUCGGCGAGCUCUACGAAAAGGCCUUAGCCUUCCUCGCCCGAAUCAACACUAGCCCGGCCCGAUUUUGCCGAGAACUUCACGUCGGUUCGCCGAAUGCCAAAAUCGACUUCGCCCCCGCGUUUUGGGACCUAUCAAUAGGGUUUCCAAGGCUUCAAAUGAGAUCAAUCUCAUACAUUUACAAAAACCUCAUUUUGGAACCCUAGAUUUGCACCUAUAGCAAAUCACCCCAUAAAUCCCUAGAUUCUUGGGAUUGAUCUAUUUAGAAGCUUGCUUAGGGUCCAUUUGACCCAUUCCAAGGCAUAAAACCCAAAAACCCUAAGUUCUAGAAGCUAGGGUUUAGUAGCUUACCUCAAGAGCUACUCCAAUGGGAAGAGGAGAGGGAGAUGGAGGUGCUCAAAGCCUUCCUCUUGAUCUCCUUCUUCUUCUCCUUCCUUAUCUUCCUCUUCUUUUCCUUCCUCUCCUUCUUGUUCUUCUUCUCCUUCUUUCCUUUCUAGAGAGAGAGAGAGCAAGAGAGAAAUGAGAGUGAGAGAGAGUGAAAUGAGAGAGUGUGAGGGAGAGAGAGGGCUCAGCCCACUCAAAUAAAGGCCAUUUUGCAUAAAAGCCCCUCAACUUUCACCCCUGUGCACUGCCCUUACUGGGCAGUUUUCGCGCGGAGGGACCGGUCUCCCCGACUUGGGACCGGUCCCCGAGAGCUUCCCUCGGGCGCACGCGUUCGGGAACCGGUCUCUCCCCGGGAGACCGGUCCUCGGGAGACCGGUCCUCACCUGAGAGACCGGUCCCCGAGAGCUUGAUUUUCAGGACUUAGCCAAUUUUUUGGCAUCUCUCGCUGGGACCACGUUCGGGAACCGGUCCCUCCCUGCCAGGGACCGGUUGCAUCACGCAACCCCGCUACACCCAGCCAGGGGAACCGGUCUCUCACCUGCAGAGACCGGUCCCCGAGAGCAACAUCAGCCCAAUGAUGCCAUUUGCCUCAUUUGCUCUCGCGGACUCAACUCCAAGGCACUUUUUGUGCUUUGGACAUUCCCAACUCCCACAAAGGGUAUACUCUCGACAAUUAGUCGAUCCUGGAUGGAGUACAAUUCUCGCAUUUCGAGAAUUCACUUCCUUACAUCCCCCCCUCCUUAAAAGGAGUUUCGUCCUCGAAACUAACUCAAUUCCUUAUUUUAAUUCAAAUCCGUACCGUACUCCUCAAAGAGAUGAGGAUGGUGUUUUCUUAUCAGAUCUUCGAGUUCCCAGGUGGCUUCGCGAUCAUCAUGAUUGCUCCACCUAACCUUCACAUAGGGGAUUUCUCGAUUCCUCAACUUCCGCACCUCUCGGGCGAUAAUCCCUACCGGAAACUCUUCAUAGCUCAAGUCUCCUCGAAGUUCCGGCGGUUCAUUAGCAUUGCGUGCUCGGGGUCGUGAAUGUACUUGCGGAGAUUGGAGACAUGGAACACAUUAUGUACAUCAGCAAGCUUCGGCGGUAGAGCAAGCCAGUAGGCCACCGAGUCGACUCGCUCUAAUAUCUCAUAUGGUCCAAUAUAUCGGGGACUUAGCUUUCCCCGCACUCCAAACCGCUUCACACCCCGCAUGGGUGAAACCUUCAAGAAUACGCGGUCACCCACUGUGAAUUCUAUAUCUCGACGGCGCCUAUCCGCAUAACUUUGCUGUCUUGACUGCGCCGUGAGCAAUCUCUUGCGAGCAAGGCGGACUUUCUCCUCCGCUUCUCGCAACACAUCCGGGCCGAACUCCGCACGCUCGCCAACAUCGCUCCAGUGUAUAGGAGAGCGACACGUCCGCCCAUAGAGAGCCUCGAACGGUGCCAUCUCCACACUAGCAUGAUAACUGUUGUUGUAGGCGAACUCGGCCAUGGGUAGAUGGUCGCACCAACUUCCCUUAUAGUCGAUGACACACGCUCAUAACAUAUCCUCCAGAGUUUGAAUUAUUCUCUCUGUUUGCCCAUCGGUCUGGGGAUGAAAUACGGUGCUAAAGUCAAGCCGUGUGCCAAGGGCUCCCUGCAGGCUCUUCCAAAAGUGUGAAGUGAACCGGGGGUCACGAUCCGACACGAUCGAUUUCGGCACCCCAUGCAGUCUCACUAUCUCGUUGAGAUAUACCUGCGCUAACUUGUCACCUGACCACGUGGUGUGGAUCGGCAAGAAAUAAGCCGACUUAGUUAAUCGGUCCACAAUUACCUAUAUUGCAUCGUGGCCGCCCGUUGAGCGAGGCAAGCCGACCACGAAGUCCAUCGAUAUAUCCUCCCAUUUCCAAACGGGGAUUGGUAGGCUUUGAAGCUUUCCCGCUGGAAAUCAACGCUCUGCUUUCACUUGUUGGCACGUUAAGCACUUCGCCACAAAGCGCCCAAUAUCACCCUUCAUUCCCGGCCACCAAUAAUGCAUUUUCAAUCCUCGAUACAUUUUGGUGCCCCUCGAGUGAUCAGCAUACGGAGAUCUGUGUGCUUCUUGUAAAAUCAAUUCGCGAAGCUCUCCAUCUUUCGGCACACACCAUCGGUUUCUAAACCGAAGCGCACCAUCGGCGUUUAUACUAAAAUCGCCGCCACGCCCUUCCUCGAUGUUUCGCCGCACCUUUUGGAGCUCUGGGUCUGCGGGUUGCAGAUCUUUAAUCCUCUCCAACAAGGUCGGUUGGACAACGAGUGCCAUCAGCUGAGUCGGGACCUCGGGAGCGACCACUUCAAGGUCCAACCGCUCCAUAUCCAGCCACAGAGGUGUUUGCUGGGUAACAUCAAAUGCGAGGUUCUUCGCUGACUUCCUACUUAGUGCGUUCGCGACCACAUGUGCCUUCCCGGGGUAGUAGAGGAUAUCGACAUCAUAAUCCUUUAACAGCUCCAACCACCGCCGCUGACGCAUAUUGAGCUCCUUCUGAGUAAACAAGUACUUUAAGCUCUUGUGGUCGGUAUAGAUCUCACAGUGGGCACCAUAUAAAUAGUGCCUCCACAGCUUUAAGGCGAAUAUCACCGCCGCUAGCUCCAAAUCAUGGAUGGGGUAGUUCUUCUCGUAGCUCUUCAGCUGACGGGAUGCGUAGGCAAUCACCUUCCCGUUUUGCAUCAACACACACCCCAACCCAAGAUAGGAGGCAUCACUAUAAACCACAAAGUCUUCGCCCUGCACCGGUAGAGCGAGCACCGGAGUCGAAGUCAAUCUUUGCUUCAACUCUUUGAAACUCCGGUCGCAUUCUUCGCUCCAAACGAACUUGGUGCCUUUCUGGGUUAGACGAGUAAGUGGAAUCACUAUCUUUGAAAAGCCUUCCACAAACCGCCUAUAGUAGCCCACUAAGCCCACGAAGCUUCGAACCUCCGUGACAUUCGUCGGGCGCGGCCAAUCCUUGAUUGCCUCAACUUUCCUCAGGUCUACAGAAAUUCCACCCGCGGAAAUUACAUGCCCUAGAAAUGCGACUUCUCGGAGCCAGAAGUCACACUUCUUCAACUUAGCAUAUAGCUUUUCCUCUCGAAGGACUUGAAGCACUAUCCUCAAAUGCUCGGCAUGUUCCUCGUCACUACGAGAGUAGACCAAUAUGUCGUCCAUAAAGACCACGACGAAUCGAUCCACGACGAAUCGAUCCAAAUACUUCUUGAAGACACGGUUCAUCAAGUCCAUAAACGCCGCUGGAGCGUUCGUGAGCCCAAAUGGCAUGACCGUGAAUUCGUAAUGUCCAUACCGCGUACGAAAUGCGGUCUUCUGCACCUCCUCCGGCUUGAUCUUCACUUGAUGGUAGCCGGAUUGCAAGUCUAUCUUCGAGUACACGCACGACCCUUGCAACUGAUCAAACAAGUCAUCGAUUCGGGGUAGUGGGUACUUGUUCUUGAUCGUGACUCUGUUCAAUUCUCGGUAGUCCACGCAGAGUCGAAACGAUCCGUCCUUCUUCCGUACAAACAACACCGGGGCUCCCCACGGUGACACACUUGGCCGGAUAAAUUGCUUGUCGAGGAGGUCUUGCAGUUGACUCCUCAACUCCUUUAAUUCUGCCGGCGCCAUGCGGCACGGGGCCUUCGAGAUCGGUGCAGUGCCGGGAAUCAAGUCUAUGACGAACUCGAUCUCCCGAUCCGGCGGUAUCCCCGGCAACUCCGCGGGAAACACAUCCGGGAACUCCCGCACUACCGCUAGCUCUUCCAAUGUUGGAGCUACUCGUUCCACUUCCACAACGGUUGCCAAAAAUGCUGCACAACCGUUGCUCACCAACUUUCUUGCCCUUGUCGCCGACACCGUCGCGACGAAGCACGAGCUCUGGCAAGCUUGAUAGGUGAAUUCUUCUUGUCCUGGCUCACAGAACGUGAUCACCCUGCUUUUGCAAUCGAUCGUUGCAUGAUACUUCGAAAGCCAAUCUAUGCCCAAUAUGACAUCGUACGCUUCUAGUUUCGUGAGCUCCAACGUCCGGAUUGGCAUAAUCCGUUCGCCUAUUUGCACCGAACACGAGGCGCACUCCGAGUAGGUAUUAAAUGUCGACCCAGGGCCCUCUACUCGCCACUUGUCACUCGCUUCUAUAUAUAUGCCAUGCAUGCGUGCGAAUGAUCUACUUAUGAAUGAAUGCGUGGCUCCUGUAUCAAAUAAACCCCUGGAGCGAACUCCGUUAAUUAAAACCAUACCUGCCACAAGGCGAUGCUCCUCCGCCUCUGCAAGCUCCUCAGCUUGGACCUGAGCGGCGAACACCCGUCCGCUCGGGGCCGAUCGCGCCACCUCAGGUGGACGCGACAUCGUCGCGCGUCCAGUCGACGCGGCCGUCGGUGGAGCUCCUCCAUAGUGAGCCGGAAUCACCGGUGCCGAUGCAGUCGAAGGGGCAGGUGAGGCUCCUCCCCCCGGGCAAUCUCAAAUGAAGUGUCCCGGCUGCCCACAUUUGUAGCACUUGCCUCGGCCUUGUUCACAGCGCGAGACCGGGUGGUCUUCGCCGCAUACAAUGCAUCGCCGCGCUCCACCGCCUUUCUGUUGAGUGCGCGGAUACUUCGGGGGUUUCUUAUAACGUGUUUGACCACCCGAACUACCGCCGCCUUGGCGUUUCUUGCCCUUGUCCUUGGACUCCGCCAAAAGCUCACGCUUCUCCCGAACGUGGGCGUCUCCAUGCUCUGCCCAUAGCGCUCGAUCAAAGACCUCAGCAAAGGUCGUGAGCUUAAGUAUUUACACAGCCUUGUAAAUUGUAACAUAUGGAAAACUUGAAGUUGCAAUGUCAACCUUGAUCUAGGGGAUCAAAGUGAGGAUUGAACUAGUUGGACAUCAUCCUCGAGUGAAUUGUGAUGCGUUGGAAUGACUUUCAGAGAUAAAUAAGUGUUUCGGCGCAAAUUGGGCGCGAAACGAAAUAUAAAGAGAAUUUUCGGAUUUCCGACGCUAACUUUGAUUAAAAGAAUUAAAGUAAGGCGUGAGGAUAAAUUGUGGUAUCUCCGAAUCAAUUGUGAAGCUUUGGAAAAGCCAAGGGUGUGUUUUCAAAGGAUUUUGAAGAGCUCAGUGCGAAGUGGUAGUGUAAAAAAGUAGAAAAUGCAAUAGGAGCUGAUUCUAUUGUUAAUUCGGCUCCAAUAAUGUCAAAAUGCAAAGGAAUUGCUUCCAAACUAAAUUAGUAGCUUGUGAAGAUCCCUUGGUAUAUUUUGGAAGUGUUUGGGUGAAAUCGGAGUGAAAACAGAAAAUGUAGACUUUUCUGUAAAGAACGGGACUGAGAAAAUUAGCAGAAAAUGCACAGUGUCAGAAAAUUAUGAAAAUUGGCAAAGAUGUCAGGAACAUUUUUAUGAGGCUAGAUUUGAAGUUUAAUAUUUUUUUGACACCUGUAGAGAGAGAAAUAGCAUAUGAAAGUUAUCUGAUAAAGCUUAUAGUUCGGGACAGUUCGCAGUGACCAAACGGGGUCGAAACUGAAAUGUUAAAAUUUCAGUGGACUUGUUAAGUAAAAAUGAACAUUCUUGUCAAAAUUGAGCUCAAUCGGACUGUCGGAAGGGCUAAACAUAUAUGAAAAUGAACGCGAGAGACAUGAGAAUGAAUAUAUAUAUGAACGGGAAAGCCAUAGUUAUGCUAAAUUCAUAUGUUCAUGAUAUAUAAAUGUUGAACUUGUAAAUAUCAUGUUAAAUCUGUAAAAGCCAAGGGCAUGUAAAUUGAAUAUGAAAUGUGAACCUAGAUGCUAUUGUCGACACUUAAAAGCGAAUAUUUGAGGCAUGUGCCCAAACAUAUGUGAAAAUGAAUAUAUUAUAGUUCAAGCUAUAUGAACGUCGAUAAUGAUUAGAAACCUCGAUGGCAAUAAGUAUAUAAUCUGUAAACCUCACGUGAAAUCCCUAAGUAUUGGGUAUAAAUCGACAACUCCAGUUGAGUAGAAAUCUAAACGGUAACGAGGUAAAUGAAAAUGUGCAGAUUAUAAACCUAGGCAUGGAGAACUAGGAUAUUGAACAGAUCGAGUGGCAUGAACCUAGAGUUAUUAAACAUAGGUUGGACAUGAAAUAAGCCUAGUGUUAUUGAACAUAGGUCGGACAUUAACCUAGUGUCAUUGGACCUAGGUCGAGUAUGUAAACCUAGAGUUGAGAUCUAGGAGAAAGUAUAUAAAACCUAGUGUAAGUGAACCUAGGUUAUGAUGUCAAGAACCAUUUAGUAAAAGUAAACUAAGUUAUGAAUUAUAGUGGCAAUAGGACCACUAGAAAGUGAAUAAUAUAGACCUAAGAAGGUCGUCAACAUAGGGUCAGUGAGUAAACCCUUAAGUUGUGAAAUGGAUUCCGGAAUCCUUAGGAAUGGUGUGAUGGCAGAAAUAGAAUCUUAACUACGGGAUUGACGGUUCUCCUCUCCCGGUAGUGAUUCAACGGGAUCGACGGUUCUCCUCUCCCGGUAUGCCAUGAAACAAGUGAAGUGAAUCGUAACUACGGGAUCGACGGUUCUCCUCUCCCGGUAGUGAUUCAACGGGAUUGACGGUUCUCCUCUCCCGGAGCUAACGGGUUUGACGGUUCUCCUCGCCCGUUGAGCUUGAGCGACUUAGGGUCACGGGGAUCGACGGUUCUCCUCUCCCUGUGAUGGACCUAGUGUCGCGUGGACUUAAGGCUGAGGUGUUGUGAGACGUCCUUCACCUCGAGCCUGACUUGACGCGGUACUCCGCGGUUGAUUGACUCAAGACCGAGUCGAGUGGCUAGAUGGCUAAGGUAAAGUAACCUUAGGAAAGAAUCGCCAGUGAGUACAAUAAGAAUAAAGAAUAAAGCAUAAAGAAAAGAAUAAGGAAAUAGCUAAUGAAUGAAACUAGCUAAGAAAGAAUAAAACAGCUACAAGUAAAGAAUGGCUAAUGAUAUAAAGUAGAAUCAAGUAAUCUACUUACAUGAAUUACAGGUAAUGCAUAUUGCAUAGCAGCGAGGCAAGGUAUGGUUUUAUUGAUCGCAUCGUUAAAUAUCUAUCUAUCUAUCUAUUGUUGAACUAACCUACUGUUUCCUCCUUUGGACCUGGUAGGUCGAGCUCUUCUCUUGGGUGGCCGUACCCACUGGGAACUAUAUUUAUAUAGUUCUCACCCCCGUGUUGUUUUGGGGGUACAGGUUGCACGCGAGCGGCGCGGCGGCGCGAGGACAGGGCGUAGUUCCGUAGAUAGCGCCCCACCACCGAGACCGAGAUAGCAAUACCUUGAAGAAGUUAAGUUCAGAGUUCAAAUUGAAAGAAACAAACUUGUAGUGAAAUUGUAUAAGUUUUGUAAUAACUUAAAGGUAUUUGGAAUUUUGUAAAUAUAAAAUGCUGAGAUGAAUGCUUGUAAUAGCAUAGUUAGCACUUUUUGUUUUUGAUACUUACGCAAUCUGUGGUUGAAUACAGUUUCUGUUUGGAACCUCUUGUAUUGCAUUGUAUAGAUUGUGACACCUAGAACGUACAGGGGAGGCUCUGUCCGUUCGGCGGUCUGUCGGCGUACCCGAAUCCGACCAAAUAGGCGGAGCUCGGGGCGUGACAGAUUAAAUGGUAUCAGAGCAUAAAAAGAGUAAUAGAAACGGUUUAGAUGGACCUAGGAGACCUAGGAUAGUAAACCGUAAGGACUUACGCUCGUGAGAGACGAGGACUUGUGACGUGUGGCGAAAGGUGAAUCGAUUGGGUCAAGUUUAGUAAACCUCUAAGACGGAUAUUAGAGGUAGAUUCAAGGUUCAGUUUAUUCUCAGCCAAGUGAGUUCAUGUUGGGUCGACACAACAUGAAACCGGGGGAUGGGAAUAAGCUUCCUUGCAUGACUUUCGCCCGAUUUGAGUCCGUAUUAAUCGUUUCGUAUUCGGCCUAGAGGGUCGAGGACUGACCGAGUUAUCGUGUCAGGUUUCUGGGAACGAUGGCACCGCGUAGGCGAUCUUCGACUAGAUCGGCGCGGGAUGGGACAAGUGGUGUCCCUGAGCGAACCGAGACGAGCGGAGACUUGGAGCUUCGCGAGCAAUUGGCCACACUCGUGGGAGUGGUCAGGCAACAAGUGGAUGUAGUGCAGCGUCAGCAGGAAGCUGCUCUGCGCCAUGAAGAGCGGAUAAAGAGACUCCAGGGGACAGUAGAUCACUUGGUGACUACACCAGUUGGGGCUAGUCAAGGACAGCCGGGAGUUGCGACGGAGGCAUUUCCGUCAGGGUCGGGCAAUCCGACUGCUGUUAGUACAGAGAUGGAAGUUGAAAGAGAGAGUGCUUUAGCGGCUCUAAUGACUUUCAAGAAGUUUGAUCCACCUACUCUUGAUGGAGAGGACAUAGAUCUAUGGACUGUGGAGUCGUGGAUUGACUCCCUAGAGAUUAUUUUCGAGGAUUUGUACACGGUGGAGCAGGACAAGGUACGCCUAGCCAUGCAUUGUUUGCAACGAUCAGCGAAGGUGUGGUGGAAAGGCAUCAAGCAGAAUCGAUCACUUAGUCUUCCUCCUAUGGGUUGGACGGAGUUUCGGGAAUUAAUACUCUCUGUUUAUUUUCCCGAUAGUGAAAAGAGAAAACUUCGGGACAGGUUUCAGAAAUUACAACAAGGAGAUCGCUCUGUGAGGGAGUACGAGCGGGAAUUCUCCCGUCUCGUGAACUGUGUUCCAAGUGUGGUACAAGACGAUAAGGAUCGAGCUGAAUGUUUUGUACGAGGACUUCGGCCUGAUAUUUUCAAAGCAGUGCAUAAUCUUAAGUUGCAGACUUUUGCUGAAGUUGUGGAUCGGGCUCUAUGGAUAGAGCAAGGCAAUGCUUUUGUGCGUGAAGAGCGCGAGGCUGAGGAAUGUAAGCGAGUGAGGUCACUACCAAGUAGCUCAGAUGAACAGUCAAGUUUUGGACACCUCUCGACAUCAUCCUCUACUCGAUUCUCCCCACGAUGUGUGAUUUGUGGUGGUUCUCAUUGGGCACGACGUUGCGUGCAACGGGAAGGAAAGUGCACUCGAUGUGGACAACCGGAACACCCAGGUUAUGAGUGCUUGCAAAGUGAUAGUAUGUGGGCGACGCCUUUUUCCUCCCCGGGACAACUUGCAGGUGUGCCACCUGCGGCACGGUCUGGAGAGCGAUUGAGGAUAAGGCAACCGAGGGGUUCGCGACGGGCAGCAAGUGGCCGUGAAUAGGCGACCCAUGUGGUGGAACCUGCUGCGAUUGGUCGUAAUGUGGCAGGUAUGAGUUAAUUAAAGCAAGCAUGUAUUUCAAUAUGAUAUCACUUGGUGCAUUGCAUGCAUUCAUUGUGUAAUCUGUUACUACUAUAGUGAUCAAGUGAAUGGAUAAGGGUAGAGACCCGAACAUGAUUGUGUUGUGGAUGUGUAGUACUUGUUGGAACAGGUAAGAGUCCUGGAACACUAGCAAAUCGCUGGUGAUAGCCUGUGAGAAGAAGUGAGACUCGUAGUAGAAAUGGUAGUGAUUGACCAACUCUCAAAACCAGUGCGAGUGGCUGAUUGCGAGAGUCUAGUCGCGAUGUUCGUGGAAUUCUUGUACGACCGAGCAUUUUGCAGGUUGUUCUAGUAGAUCGAACAGUGAAAAUAGAAUCACUGUUGCGUCUGGUACGUGCACGUGGACCUAGUGGUACCUCGAAUUGAGGUAAGUAGGUCGUGCUCGUGUAGUCGAUAUCCAUAGGCAAGAGUUGCCUAAUGCUAGACUUAAUAUAGCACGCGAUAGAGUCGUGUAGAGCACUCGAGUGUUGGUGCUCGUAGAGUGCAGAUUUGUUUCAGCCGUGAGUGUGUUGGUAGUAGCACUUUAGUGUUUCUAAGUGUGAAGCGUGCCAGAGAUCACUCAUAGGGCCGGUGGCUCGCACUAGGUGCGUAGGAGCCGAUAGUGGUACAUAUGCUCAGCAGAGUGUCGCGUGAGACGACGUUUGCGGGUAGUGCUUGGGGACGAUCCGUGCCUGGACCAUUUGUGAAUUGUGGAGCCUGGACCCAUUGGGUAGGCGCAGUCAGCUAUGAGAGAUAGCGGCCCGAUACCUACAGGUAGGGCGGAGAGUUUUGGUCAGGACGGUAGUCCGAGCAUAGACCGAGUACGUGGAAUGCCACGUGUUAGACCGUGAAAUCGGUGAUGCACUGAGAGUGCGAUUAUGACCCAACCCGAGGACUUGGCGUGAUUUAGGGUCUUAGUUACUCCUGGUUGGAGUAUGUGCGAAUUCUCUAAUGAGAAUUUCGCCCAAUAAUGAUAAUUGGGUCUACGCUUGUGAGCGAGAGACGUUGAGUUAAGCGCUAGGCCUAACAAAUCGUCGAUCCGAUUCGCGAACAGAUCUGUGGUAAUUGAGACACGUAGUUACCCGUGUGCAUUGUAAGUGAGUAGUUCGAAUAUUUCGAACAUGUCCAAGUGAAGGAUAGUGAGUAGGGACCGUGAAAGCGAAGGCUUGGUCCUAUGGAUUAUCUAGUCAGAAUUGCUAAAAUAAGCAUCGAUGACGAGCUGAGAUUGGAAACGCGAACAAAGGGUUCGUAGAGACUGAUUCGGAGGAAUCAGGGUAGCAUAGGUUGAAAUUCAGAAGCUACAGACUGAAAUGAUUCUACAUGUUGAUGAUGGUUGAUACUUAUCUCCAUCCGUUGAGUAAAAGAGGAGUAAUAGGAAUCUAAGUUUCGCGGACGAAACUUUUAUUAACGAGGGGAGAAUGUGUCACGCCCCGGGACCGAUACCAAUUUGGCCCGACCCGAGCUCGUCAAACAGACGCCGAACGGACAGAGUUUCCCCUAUCCGCCCAAGGCUCAUCACAUGUACAAAUUCAAACAAGAAAUGCACUAGCGGAAACAUACACAAACGGCUUACACGAAGGUAAGCAAUAGCCAUUAGUGAAAGAAAAAGGAAACUAACAUUCACAAGUAAUAUGAUUCAUUUUAGAUCAUAUACAUUGCAUUCAUCUAGUAAUUUAGCAAAUUCUUACAUUCAUUACAUCAUUUCUUUCUUACAUCACAUUUACCUCAAAACAAGCUUUACAUUCUUUCUUUACAUCACUAAUCAUCAAAUACAAAAGAUGAUCAUAAGGUACUUUACUACAAAAUGAAACCCAACAUUGGUGGCCUCUGACUAAGGCGCGAUACCUUUACCUCGGUCGCUCGCCGGCUCGCUCGGUCCCGGCUUUGUGGAAAUAGUGGGGUGAGAACUACAACAAAGUUCCCAGUGGGUUCGGCCUCAACAUCUAAGCCGACUUUUCCUACCUGAGCACUACUAAGCAUAAUAGAAAGGAUAAGCUGACAAUAGUAGUAACGCAACCUAACAACAUGAAGUAAUAUGCCUGAACAUAAAGCAAGGAAUAUGCUCAACAUAACAAUGUAAUUAUGCAAAUUUUUUGUUCUUUUCACUUACUCUUUGUUCUUGUUCUUUGCACUUUGUCUUGUUCUUUGUUUCUUAAUCUCAAGCUAACCCGGGGUAUCGGCCACAUUAACUUGCUUCACAUUAAGUCCAUCAUCGCAGGAACUCACCAGCUAGGAGACGUCCUUACGGUUUACUCCAACCCGGAUGCAUAACUCCGGAGCGCAUCGCCCGAGGGGGCGCAACCGCCCUCGAGCACGGUAACUAAUAGCAAGUAUGAUCGAAUCCUUAACUCAAAGGAUUUUAUAAGUUCAAUCUUGACUUUACACUAGCUCUAGUGUUCUUAUAUCACUUUAUGUUGCAAACUCAUGCAAUCACAUUCUUUACAUUUCUUUUACUUUGCUAUCUCUAGCAAUUAUAUCUUCAUAUCUUUACUUUGCUACCUCUAGCACUUCGUGUUCUUUAUUUCCCCACAUUGCUUUAACUUAAACAUUGUCAUUUCAUCAUUCUUUACAUUACAAUUGUUAUUUUGCACACCACUAACUCUAGUGUCUCUUUACUAUACAUUUUCAAAUGCCACUCGAUCUAUGUCAUUGUGCAUUCGUUCUUUUGCUCACUUUGGUGCUCACACUUUCUCUCAUGCAUACAUCUUAGGGUUUUUGACAUAUUAGGUUCUCAACCAUCUCAUUAUCCAAGUUGUGUUCACAAUCAUGCAAUCAUCACAUUUCAUCAUUACUUUACCCUAAAAUGCAUGCAAUAAUAUGUAGAACAUAUGCUCAAAGAAUGACACAUUAGCAUAGAAGGAAGUUCAAUGAGUUUGAGAAGCACCACCCACCUGUAGCGUCUCUUUAGGUGCUCCGACGAUUUUUCGGGAUUUUUAGAUCCUUCGUUCUUUACCUGCGGCAAAACGAAGCCAACUUAGAGCAUUUUGCCCAUAACUUUUCAUCGGCUUUUCGUAACGUAAAUCCGAACGCCACCAACGCGUCGGAAAUACCCCCAAUUAGGUUUUAGAGGGUCAAUGUUUGCACGCUUAGAAACCCUCAUGAGCAAAAGCCCCAAUUUGGGGGCCCUAGCUCCAAUGCGUAUCAAAACUAGGUUUGAUCUCAUUGGGAAGCAAAAGUAGCUUCAUGUAUACUCUAAAUAGUCCAUUAGAAACAUUCUUAGGCUUUCCAAAACCCUAGAUUAGAUUUCACCAUUAGAGUGGUCCAAGCUCACCUCUAUAGCAAACUAGUUGUUGAUCUCUAAAGAAGCAAAAAGAAGCUUCAAACUCUUUAAUCAUUCCAUUAAAAACCCAUUCUAGCUCAUCCAAACUCAUUCUAGGGUUUACUAUGAUUAAGUGAAGCUUACCUCAAGGCUUUUCCCUAACUUGCAUUAGAGAGGAAGAAGAUCGAAGCCUCUUGUGCUCUUUGAUCUUCUUCUUCACUUUUUCUCCUUCUUUUCCUUCUUUUCUUCCUUUAUUCUUCUUCUCUUUUGUCUUCUAGAGCAGAGAGAGGCGAGCAGAGCAGAGUGUGAGAGCGCGUGAGCGAAAUGAGAGCAAAUAUCUCAUUUGGCCUCAUACAUAGCUAUUGGGUUCCAAAAUGCAAUAAACCCCUCAACUUUCACUUAAAUACACUGCUCGAACUGGGCUGAUCGCCGCAGGCAGAGACCGCGUCUCCCCGAGCAGGGACCGUUCCCGAACGUCCACCGCUGCGCAGCCAGAGGCCGCUGCGCGCGAUUGCGACGCGUCUCUCUCUGAUGGACUCGGUCUCUGGGGGACCGGUCUCUCAGGCAGAGACCGGUUCCCGAGAGCUGAUAACUUCCAGACUUAGCCGAUUUUUCGGCUGUCUCAUUCCACACGCGUUCGGGACGGUCUCUCCCACCAGGACCGGUCCCCGAGAGCUUGAAAAUCUGCAGCUUUUGCAGAAUUGAUUUUAGCUCUCGAAAACCUUCCACAACUCACUUUUGAUCAUUUUAACUACCUCGAACUUCGGAAGUGUACAUCCUCGCACUUUGGUCAAUUUGACUAAAGUUCGACAUUUUUAUUUUCCGAAUUUUCGCGUAUAUUACAGAAUGUAACAUAUGGAAAACUGUGAAGUUGCAAUGUCAACCUUGAUCUAGGGAUCAAGUGAGGAUUGAACUAGUUGGACAUCAUCCUCGAGUGAAUUGUGAUGCGUUGGAAUGACUUUCAGAGAUAAAUAGUGUUUCGGCGCAAAUUGCGGCGCGAAACGAAAUAUAAAGAGAAUUUUCGGAUUUCGACGCUAACUUUGAUUAAAAGAAUUACAAGUAAGGCGUGAGCGAUAAAUUGUGGUAUACUCCGAAUCAAUUGUGAAGCUUUGGAAAAGCCAAGGUGUGUUUUCAAAGGAUUUGAAGAGCUCAGUGCGAAGUGGUAGUGUAAAAAAGUAGAAAAUGCAAGUAGGAGCUGAUUCUAUUGUUAUUCGGCUCAAUAAUGUCAAAAUGCAAAGGAAUGCUUCCAAACUAAAUUCGUAGCUUGUGAAGAUCCCUUGGUAUAUUUUGGAAGUGUUUGGUGAAAUCGGAGUGAAAACAGAAAAUGUAGACUUUCUGUAAAGAACGCGGACUGAGAAAAUUAGCAGAAAAUGCACAGUGUCAGAAAAAUUAUGAAAAUUGGCAAAGAUGUCAGGAAACAUUUUUAUGAGGCUAGAUUUGAAGUUUAAUAUUUUUUUGACCACGCCUGUAAGAGAGAAAUAGCAUAUGAAAGUUAUCUGAUAAAGCUUAUAGUUCGGCGACAGUUCGCAGUGACCAAACGGGUUCGAAACUGAAAUGUUAAAAUUUCAGUGGACUUCUUAAGAAAAAACGAACAUUUUGUAAAAAUUGAGCUCAAUCGAACUAUCGAAGGCAAACAUAUAUGAAUAUGAACCGAGAUGACAUGAGAAUGAAUAUAUAUAUGAACGGGAAGCCAUAGUUAGCUAAAUUCAUAUGUUCAUGAUGAUAUAAAGUGUUGAACUUGUAAAUAUGCAUGUUAAACGCUGUAAAAGCCAAGGCAUGUAAAUUGAAUAUGAAAUGUGAACCUAGAUGCUAUUGUCGACACUAAAAGCGAAUAUUGAGGCAUGGCCCAAACAUAAUGUGAAAAUGAAUAUAUUAUAGUUCAAGCUAUAUGAACGUCGAUAAUGAUUAGAAACCUCGAUGGCAAUAAGUAUAUAAUCUGUAAACCUCACGCUGAAAUCCCUAAGUAUUGGUAUAAAUCGACAACAUCCAGUGAGUAGAAAUCUAAACGGUAACGAGGGUAAAUGAAUAUGUGCAGAUUAUAAACCUAGGCGUGGAGAACUAGGACAUUGAAUAGAUCGGUGGCAUGAACACUAGAGUUAUUAACCGUAGGUGGACAUUGAAUAGCUCGAGUAGCAUGAACCUAGUGCUAUUAAACAUAGGUUGGACAUGAAUAAGCCUAGUGUUAUAUGAACAUAGGUCGACAUUAACCUAGUGUCAGUGGACCUAGGUCGAGUAUUGUAAACUAGAGUUGAAGAUCUAGGAGAAAGUAUAUAAAACCUAGUGUAAGUGAACCUAGGUUAUGAUGUAAAGAACAUCUUAGUAAAGUAAACUAAGUUGUGAAUCAAGUGGGCAAUAGACCACUAGAAAGUGAAUAGAAUAGACCUAGAAAGAUCGUCGACAUAGGGUAAAAGAGUAAACCCUUAAGUUGUGAAAAUGGAUUCCGAAUCCCUAGGAUUGGUAUGAUAGGCAGAAAUAGAAUCUUAACUAGCGGAUUGACGUUCUCCUCUCCCGUAGUGAUUCAACGGGAUCAACAGUUCUCCUCUCCGCGUAUGCCAUGAAGGAAGUGAAUCGGAACACGGAUCGACAGUUCUCCUCUCCCGGUAGUGAUUCAACGGAUGACGGUUCUCCUCUCCGGUUGAGCUAACGGGUUUGACGGUUCUCCUCGCCCUGUUGAGCUGAGAGAUUAGGGUCAGCGGGAUCGACGGUUUCCUCUCCCUGUGAUGGACCUCAGUGUCGCGUGGACUUAAGCUGAGGUGUUGUGAGACGUCCUGCCACCUCGAGCCUGACUGACGCGCGUACUCGCCGCGGUUGAUUGACUCAAGACCGAGUCGAGUGCUAGAUGGCUAAGGUAAGUAACCUUAGAAAGAAUCGCCAGUGAGUACAAUAAAAUAAAGAAUAAAGCAUAAAGAAAAGAAUAAGGAAAUAGCUAAUGAAUGAAACUAGCUAAGAAAGAAUAAAAGCUACAAGUAAAGAAUGGCUAAUGAUAUAAAGUGAAUCAAGUAAUCUACUUACAUGAAUUACAGGUAAUGCAUAUUGCCAAGCCAGCGAGGCAAGGUAUGGUUUUAUUGAUCGCAUCGUUAAAUAUCUAUCUAUCUAUCUGAUUGUUAACUAACCUACUGUUUCCUCCUUUGACCUGGUAGGUCGAGCUCUCUUCUGGGUAGGGCUACCCACUGGGAACUAUAUUUAUAUAGUUCUCACCCCCGUGUUGUUUGGGGUACAGGUUGCACGCGAGCGCGCGGCGGCGCGAGGACAGGGCGUAGUUCCGUAGAUAGCGCCCCACCACCGAACCGAGAUAGCAAUACCCUGAAGAAGUAAGUUCAGCAGUUCAAAAUUGAAAGCAAACAAACUUGUAGUGAAAUUGGUAUAAGUUUUGUAAUAACAUAAGGUAUUUGGAAUUUUGUAAAUAUAAAAUGCUGAGAUGAAUGCCUUGUAAUAGCAUAGUUAGCACUUUAUGUUUUUGAUACUUAUGCAAUCUGUGGUUGAAUACAGUUCCUGUUUGGAACCUCUUGUAUAUGCAUUGUAUAGAUUGUGACGCCUACGAACGAUAGGGGAGGCUCUGUCCGUUCGGCGGUCUGUCGGCGUACCCGAAUCCGACCAAAUCGGCGGAGCUCAGGCGUGACAUAAAUUCCCGGCCGAAGUCCUCGCAAGAGCCACUCGGCCGCGUCCCGCGUCAUCCUUGACAACAUCCUGGACACAAUCAUGAUGUGGGAGAAUUCUUGUUCAUACUCCGCCACUAAGCCGCUCCCUUGCUCCAGCUUGCGAAUUUCUCCUUGAGCUUCCGCUUCAACGUAUACGGAAAUAAUUGGCGAACAUUUCCCGCUUGAAUUCCUCCAUACAUCGCGCGGAAGGCCGCCGGAAGCCGAUCCGUUUAACGCGCUCACCAAACCUCGCCGCCGCCUUCUCCAGGCAAUGGGUAGCGAGGUAGACUUUAUCCGCUCUCCAAGGUACGCAAAUCAUCGAAGGGGUUCCAUCAAGUCGAUCCAAGCACUCGACCAUCUCUGGUUCCACCUUCUCGCCCCUCGAAAGUUGGCGUAUGGAACUUGUUGAAUUUGAUAAGAGCCGCCAAUGCGCGCUCUCCUUCCACCUCUUCGCCGACACAUCGGAGGUAGCCAUCCAGAUGCCGCCUGUGUGCGAUCUGCUGUCGGUCGGCGUCUGCAGCACACACCAGAACCGCGCGUAUACCCUCACCCUCCGCCACCUCGGCACACGGUCGAGGAGCGCGCGGCGGCCACCGCCCUCAGCCAUUGUCGCGGCGCGGGUGCCGUGAGCUCCGCUCCAUAAGUUCCUGAAGCCUCUCGAAUCGGGUCUCCUGGCGCUGCCACCACGCUAGUCAACGCGGUCACUUGCGGCCUGCAGCCGAUCAUCAUGCUCGGCUCCGUCUGCUCGGGCACCUCGGUGCGGUGCUGGAGUGGAUCUCGUACUUGGGGCGUCUCUUCCGUGCCAUAGCUCUGAAACGCAACCACUUGUUUAAUCACUUUAACCAACUUCCUCGUCGGAAUCACCGACACACCACGACUCAGCAACAAAAUCGGCGGAAGCACACACGCGUACUCGUCCUAGACUCUGGCAUUAUGUCGUCGGCCGCCGACACAACACCUCAAGCCACGAACUCAUACAACUCAAUCCGUCUCUAAUCACAAUAAGAGACCUAUACCAACUCGACCCAAUCGAAUUAACUUCCGCCAUCGCUGAUAGGUUCACAUUCCGCUCACGUCUGCACCUAUAACCUUAAGGCUGCCAACUAGGUCCCUAGGUCAUCUAAACUCUCUUUACUUGCUCUUAUGCUCUGAUACCACGAAAAUACUGUCACGCCCCGCCCCGCGAAACCACUACCAAUUUGGCGCGAUUCGGCCGCGCCGACAGACGCCGAACGGACAGCACCCUCCCCUGCCCGCCAAGCUCAACCACAGGAAUGUGUACAAGAAUUUACCUAGAACUUUAAUUCUAACAUACAACAUUCAACGACGGGCACAAACAGUGCGCAACAACAAGAGAAGACAAGUAAUCCACAAGAUAUACGAGUGAAAUGAAGAGAGUACUUUAACUAACUAUUACAAUAGUUACAUUCUUUACCUUUACAUCAUUUUCAAAAAUGAAUAGCAUUUGAUCCCUCAAAAUACAUAGCUCUCCAACCUCACCUACAUGAAUCUCUCUCAUACAUAGGUGUACUAAUGCAAAGGAAGCUACUACACUCACCACGGCCUCACUGAUGGCGCGCGAUGCCCUUGCCGCGGUCCUCUCUCUGCAAGCCCUGAACCUACACUGGAAAUAGAGUGGCGCUGAGGAACCUACUUCCAUCAGUUCCAGCUGUGGCUGGCGCACUCGUGCGAUCUCCCACUAGGUCCAAGUGGGCACAAGUAACAACAAAUAGAUAGAUAAUAUGUAUCUGAAGCUGUAAUGCAGUCUACGUAGGAAAACUAUGCUACUAUGCCCAUAAUCAUGAAUAUGAAUGCAUGCAUCAUAUAAUAAAAGGUUUGCUACCAUGCUAACAAAUUCGAUCCAUGUUCGAAUCGUAAUGCUUCAAUGACAUUUAUAAACCUUUAACCUUUUUCAUUUACCCAAUCUGUGCGAGGCCCUAGGCUCGCCCUGACCAUACACUUUCAAUCCCAAAGUGGGGAGGGAGCUCCAAGUUGCACCCAGCCCGGCGACCGUCUGCCGAACCUCCAUGUGGUCCGACCUCCAAGUGGUCCUAGUCCGCCGACACUCCGGAGUACUCGACGACAAUCCCCUCCAUUGGCGAUAUGGAUGGCUAUACCAUCCCAAACCCCAGACUGUGAGCUAGAUCUGUCCUCUCCAAGUGAGAUACUCUACAUACUAGAGUCAAUACCCAAUCGAAUCCUCUCAAGUGAGGACGCCCCUACACAAGGACAGUCAACGCACUAUCGCGGAAUCAUCGGUUCCCGACAUUCAUCAAUACUAUUUAGUUUCUACAAUUCAUUGUUCACCAGCGCAUUUUUAAGGGAUCCACCUAUCCCUAGGUCCAUCGACUCCUAGUGUUAUUUACAACUACAUUAAUGCCAACUCGUUAUCAUUCAAUAUUUGGGUGCGCCACUCUGUUUCUUUGACAAUAAACCUACUUUCUAUGUCAUCAAUACCCCAUCGGUUCAUCUCUAUCUCUAGAUCAUAGGAUCACUGUUCCGACCCAAUCCUCACCUAUCUACGUUACAAGCGUUCAAGUACACUAGGUCAUCCAUUAGAAAGCAUAUAGGAAUGGCGCUACUAUGCAAUCCUACAACUGCAACAUGAAGAGAUGAGAUUAAAUGCAAUCUAAGACAUAGAAAGGAGUUCGAGAAGUUCGGGAUAACACCCCCCACCUUUUUAAUCGAGUGUAGAGGUUUUGGAAAUCUUCUCAGCGAGCUUCGCGAAAAGCGCUUUAGCCUUUUUCCUCCCCGAAUCAACACUAGCCCGGCCCGAUUUGCCGAGAACUUUCACGCAGGUUGCCAACUGCCAAAUCGACUUCGCCCCCCGCGUGUUUGGGACCUAUCAAUCAGUUAUCCAAAGGCUUCAAAUGAGAUACACCCAUCUCAACGACUUUAUACAAAACCCCAUUGGAACCCUAGAUUCCACCUAGAAGCUAACACCCCUAUAAGAUCCUAGCAUUUCUUGGAUUGAAUCUAUUUUAGAAGCUUGCCUUAGGGUCCGAUUGACCAUUCAAGACAUAAAACCACAAAACCUAAGUUUAGAACGCUAGCGUUUAGUAGCGUUACCUCAAGAGCUUUUUUUACUCCAGGGAAGAGGCAGAAGAGAGAUAGCGAGGUGCUCAAGCCUCCUCUUGAUCUCCUUCUCUUCUGCCUUCCUUACUUUCCAUCUUCUUUCCGUCCUCUCCUUCUUGUUCAUUCUUCCCUGCUUUCCUUCUAAGAGAGGAGAGAGCAAGAGCAAAAUGAGAGUGAGAGAGAGUAAAAUGAGAGAGUGGAGGAGAGAGAGGCGCUCAUGCCUACAAAUAAAGGCCAUUGCAUAAAGCCCUCGACUUUCCACCUUGUGCCACUGCCCUUAUCAUGGCAUGUUUUCCGCAUGCAGGGACAGAGUCUACCCGACUUUGGGACGAGUCCCCGAGAGGCUUCCCUCGGCCGCGCACGCGUUCGGGCAACCGAGUCUCUCCCGGCGAGACCGUCCCUCACUGAGAAGACCAUGUCCCAGAGCUUGAUUUUCAGGACUUAGCCAAUUUUUUGGCAUCUCUCGCUGGGACCACGUUCGGGAACCGGUCCCUCCCUGCCAGGGACCGGUUGCAUCACGCAACCCCGCUACAUCCAGCCAGGGGAACCGGUCUCUCACCUGCAGAGACCGGUCCCCGAGAGCAACAUCAGCCCAAUGAUGCCAUUUGCCUCAUUUGCUCUCGCGGACUCAACUCCAAGGCACUUUUUGUGCUUUGGACAUUCCCAACUCCCACAAAGGGUAUACUCUCGACAAUUAGUCGAUCCUGGAUGGAGUACAAUCCUCGCAUUUCGAGAAUUCACUUCCUUACACAUAAUCCAAUAUAUCUUUAUGUAAUGAAUAUGCUCUAUCAUAACAACCAAGUAUACUAUGAUGCAACAAGUAAACUAUCAAGUAUACUACAUGUCCCAACGCUAUGCUACAAGCAUGUCAAGGUAAUCCAACUACUACUCCCUAUCUAGUAGUGAUUAACUUUUACGAAUUGAUGUCAUUGUCCAAUCUAGUUUUGGGACCUACACAAGUGUAGUCCAGCUUGUGCCGCCUAAGUGUCGGUGGUAGCUCCAGCAUUCCUACUCUAGGAAUGAGUCUAUCCCUCCCGACUCCGUAGGUUUCUCGAUGCCGCACGAGCUAACAUAAGCCGCGUAGGCCAACUCCGGACUGCCGGCUUGUGGGGAGCGACCCUCACAAGCGUGUGCGAAUGAGCACAAAUGGCAAGCAAGCAUAGUCAAUGUCUCAAGUGUCCAAUCAUCAUGUCUCUAGCAUGGUCAAAGCCACUAGCAACCCAACGGUCUAGUUCUAUGUCUCAAAGUGAUGUUCCAACACUCACCUUGCUUAGUGCCUCUUUAUGCACUUAAGCAUUAUGAUAAUCCAAGUACAAUCCACAUUCUAUGUCCCUUCAUGACACUAGUACUAGGUUCACACAUAACCCAAGCUCAAUGCCGUUUUAUGACAUUAGCUCCAAAUUUUUUCAUGACAGUCUAGUCUGAUGCCUCUUUAUGGCAUUAGCUAUCUCUCAUGUCUCUAACAUGCAUAGGUUUAUGUAGCACACUGGACUUUUGCAAAUUGCGAGGUUCGAGUGUUUGGAUGUAUUUCGAGCUUUUCCACACUUGAUGGAGGGUUGUAGAAUGUUUUCCGACCUAAAAAAUUCGAAAACUGGAAUUCUGGACAAGUCCUGAGAGUUUUUACUCUCGGGGACCGGUCCCUGGAAGGAGAGACCGGUCCCCCGGUGAGCAGUGUUGUGGCAGUCGGUCCCUGGCAGGCGAGACCGGUCCCCGAGCGCGCCUUCGCAGAGAGAGACCGGUCCCGCGCAGGGAGAGACUGGUUCCCGAACGUUGGUUUUUCGGGUUCGCAGCGAGAGACCGGUCCCUGCUGGGGAAAGACCGGUCCCUCUGGGCGAAAACUGCCCAGACCGGGCUGUUGCAAUAUUGGAAUUUUGAGGGACCUAGUUGGAUUUUGUUACAAUAGAGGGUCUAUAUGACCCAUCCACCCUCUCUUCUCCUCAUUUCCCUCCUCACACUCUCCCCACAUCCUUGCUAGAGAGAGAAGAAGGAGAAGAAGAGGAAGGAGAAGAAGAGGAGAAGGAUCUAGAUUGGGCUUGCAGCAUCCCUUUGCCUUCCUUCCUCUUCCCACCUUGUUGGUGCUUGAAGGCUUGGACUUGGAGCUUGCAAAGGAGAAGAUCUUCACCCUUUGAGCUUGGAUUGAAGCUCCUUAGAGGUUAGUAGCCCUUUCUCUCCAUCUAGACUUUGGAUUUUCGGUUUUCUUGUGUUGGAACCCUAGAAUGAGAUUUUAGGGUUGAUUUUGGGGCUUUUUGAUCUAGGGCUUUUGGGACUAAAUUAGUUGGAUUAGAACCUUCCAUUUGGUUGGAUUGGAAGGGUUCUAGCUCUCUUUUGGAGCUUUGGAAGAGAUUUCUUCUCUUGAGGUGAGUUUUAGUCCUUUUGUCUUGUUGCUUAAUAUUUGAUCUUAUAGUUGAUCGUAAUGCCCGUGUAUCUCUUCGCUCAAUACUUUUAGGGUAUUUUGAGGCUCGUGGACAACUCGGUUCGGCGAAUCGAAGGAGCACGCGACGGUUCGGUGGGUUUGACCUAGCCUAUGAUAUGAGAAAUGCUCAUAUUUGGCAAAAUAUGAUUCGUAAAAUAGAUAUUCAUGCAUUUUCAUGUUAAAUGUAUUUAAUAUGAAUUUUAGAAUGCUUAACAUGCAUAUAUUAUGUAUAGUAAAAUUUUAGACCCCUAUGUGGUAGAGUGUAUGCAUGUGAGACUUAGCAUUCUAGUUAUGAUUGGGAACCAUGAUUCCUAUUAUGGAAAUGAACCUUGCUUUCAUGCAUUUAACCUAUAUGCCAAUUGUGACAUUAGGAAUUUUAGAAGCCUAGAGAAGGCUUGAGAACUUGGACUAUUUGAGAUUGGGCCAAUGUCAUAAAGAGGCAUUGGGCCCGGGCUAAAGUGAACCUAGCUAGUAUUUUUUAAAUUGGAAUAUGGAACAUGAAUUGGGCAUGAUUAGUUGUGAUGCUUAAGUGUCAUAAAGAGGCACUAAGCAAGUGUGUGCGUUGGAGCGUCACUUUGAGACUUUGGACUAGAUCCUUGGGAUGCUAGUGGCCUUCCCAUGUGAGAGGCAUGAGAGUAGAGUACUUGAGACUUUGACCUUGCUUGCUUGCCAUUUGUGCUCAUUCGCACAUGCUUGUGAGGGUCGCUCCCUACAAGCCGGCACUCCGGAGUUAGCCUACGCGACUUAUGUUCGCUCGUGCGGUAUUAAGAAGCCUACGGGGUCGAGUGGGACAGACAUAUUCCAAGAGUAGGGAUGUUGGGCUACCACAGGCACUUAGGCGGCACAAGUUGGACUACCUUUGGUAGGUCCUUAAUUGGAAAUGGAAAUCGACACGGGAUGAGUUUGUUAUAAUCACUACUAAAUAGAGAGUGGUAGUUGGAUUGCUCGGACUUGCUUCUAGCAUAUAUUUAGACUUUGGGUAUACUAGGAGGCAUUGCUAGGAGGCAUUGCUUAAUUGCACUCAUAUAAACAAUGUUGCUAUGAUAAAGGAUAAUCCUCAUAAUUUCAUUAAGCAAACCAUGACAAUCAUCUAUGGCUAAGUAGAGACAUAUUCUUCAUGACAAGAUAAUUGUGCAUUACCUAAAUGCCAUAUUUAAUUGCAAGUAAUAUUUUAGUAUUUUCAUUAUGCUUUCAUAAAUGCAAAUUACUCGUUAUUGCUAUUGCUUUUGACUUACCCCUUUUCUUUUGGGCCUAGUAGUGCAAUGAGCUGAGGUCAGUAAUUGCCCACUGGGAACUAUAAAUUAUAGUUCUCACGCCCUCUGUUCUAUGUUUUCUUUCAGAGCCUUCCACGCCGGGAGAGGCUAGGGACCGUGGGAAGGGCGUUGCUUCGGAUUAGCCCUUCAGUCAAAGAUGAGUUUAAGUGGUCUUCCUCUCGACGUAUUUCUUUUUGUGAGAGGUUGAGAGUUUACCCGUGUACUAAAGACCACCAUUCUUGUACUAGAUAUCGAUGUUGUACUACUUAUAUUUUUCUUUUAUGGUUUAAUUAUGUUUCUUUUACUCUGGUUUAGAUGAUAGAACCGUACUCGCUCUGAUAUUAUUAGUUACCACUAUGCUAUUUGUUCUACUUCUUGCUUUACUUCCGCUUUUGUUGUAGACGCUUUAUAUGUGUAGACAUAUGGCGGGUCUGGGCGCGCUACCGGGAGGGCCUUCGCCGGUCCCGGGGCGUGACAGUUUAAGUGCACUACACAAUGCUCAUUUUCGUUGUAAGAAACAUGGUCCCAAGUCCAACAUAAGAAUGCCAAAUGCUAGUAUAAGCCUCACAUGCAACUCUCUCCUAUAUAGAGGUCCGAAAAUUUAUUGUACAUGACAUAGGGAUGUUAAGUAUUCUAAAAUUCACAAUAAAUACAUUUAGCAUGAAAAUGCAUGAAUUUCCACUUUACGAAGCAUAAAUCACCAAAUAUGAGUAUUUCUCAUAUUGUAGGCUAGGUCAAACUCACCGAACAACGCGUAACCCUUCAUUUGCUCUAACGAAGAUGUCCACUAAGCUCCUAGCAUCCUAGAAGCAACAAAAAGUGAGCUACAAGGAAUAAACGAACAACUACUAUCUCAAUCAUUAACCAACUAGACAAAAGGGCCAAAUCUCACCUAUAGUGAAGAAAUCCCUCUUCAAAGCUCAAAUGGAAGUCAAAUCCCUUCCAAAGCAACCUAAACCAAGGUUCUAAUCCCAUUAGAUUAGCCCCAAAAGUCUCCAAACAAAAAGCCCCAAAAUAAACUCUAAAAUCCAAAUCUAGGGUUUCAUCUCCCAAAAUCCACCAAAACUAGGUCUCGAGGGGAGGAACAAGCAACUAACCUCUUAAGAAGCUUCAAUCCAUGCUCCAAGUUCUCUAGGGUUGAAGAUAUCCUCUCUAGUAAGCUCUAAGUCCAAACCUCCAAGCACCAACAAGGUGGGAAGAGAGGGAGAGAAGAUACUCCAAGUCCUCAAACAAGCUCUUCCUCUACUUCUCCUUCUUCUCCUUCUCCUUUUUCUCCUUCUUCUUCUCUUUCUAGAGUGUGUGAGAGAGUGAGAAGUGAGGGAAAGAGGGAAGAGAAAUGGCCUAAAAGCCCUCUAUUGUAACAAAAUUCGGAAAAGUCCCUCUACUUUUCAUCCUAUGCAUCAGCCCGAACUGGGCAGUUUUCGCCCAGAGGGACCGGUCUCUCCCAGUUGGGACCGGUCCCUCGGGACCAUCCAGCAAAACCAGCUCUCGGGAACCGGUCUCCCCAGCCGCGGACUGGUUGCCUCGCCGUGGGGGACCGGUCUCUCCCACCAGGGACCGGUCCGCAAGAGUAAAAAUCUCAAGACUUGUCCAGAAGUUCAGAUUUCGAACUUUCUGGUCAGAAUGCAGUCUACGACCCUCCACCAAGUGUGGGAAAAGCUCGAAACACCAAACCCAAACACUCGAACCUUGCAAUUUGCGAAAGUCCAGUGUGUUACAUUCACCCCUCCUAAAAAGGAGUUUCGUCCGCAAAACUCGAAAAGCAAAGUACCUCAAGCCUCCAUCUGAAAAAGAUGGAGAUAGCGCUCCUGCAGUGCGCUCUCCAACUCCCAAGUGGCCUCACGUUCAUCGUGGUUGCACCAAAGCACCUUCACGUAGGGAAUCUCACGGUUCUGCAAUCUCUUAACUUCGCGAGCCAAAAUCCUCAAAGGUUGCUCUUCAAAACUCAAGUCAUCCCUCAGCUCCAAAGGUGUAGCGUCCAACACGUGAGCCGGAUCAUGGAUGUACUUCCAAAUGACCGAUACAUGGAAUACAUUGUGUACACCCGAUAGGUUCGGCGGUAGAGCAAGUCGAUACGCUACCGGGCCUACACGCUCUAAAACCUCGUAUGGUCCAAUGUAUCAGGGGCUCAACUUACCCCGGAUGUCAAAUCUUCUAAUUCCUUUAGUUGGCGAGACUUUCAAGAAGACAUGAUCUCCAAUCUGAAACUCAAAGUCUCGUCGUCGCCUAUCAGCAUAACUCUUUUGCCUACUCUGGGCUGUCAACAAUCGCUCCCGAGCAAUGCGAACCUUGUCCUCUGCUUCCUGGAGCACGUCAGGGCCUAAAGCCAAUCUCUCGCCAACUUCACUCUAAUGAAGUGGCGAUCUACACUUCCAUCCAUAGAGUGCCUCGAAAGGUGCCAUCUUGAUGCUUGCUUGAUAACUGUUGUUAUAAGCAAACUCUGCCAUCGGUAGAUACUGCGACAAUCCUCCCUGGAAGUCAAUCACACACGCACGAAACAUGUCCUCGAGAGUCUGUAUAGUACGCUCUGACUACCCGUCACUCUGAGGGUGGAAAGCUGUACUAAAAUCCAAACGCGUACCCAAAGCAUCCUGUAAGCUCCUCCAAAAGUGGGAUACAAAUCGGGGGUCUCGAUCUGAUACUAUAGAAGUAGGUACCCCGUGCAAUCGCACAAUCUCGUCAAGAUAUACAUGUGCGAGUCUCUCACCAGUCCAAGUAGUGUGAAUAGGUAUGAAAUGAGCCGAUUUCGUCAACCUAUCCACAAUCACCCAAAUAGCAUCAUGCCCAGCCUGCGAGCAAAGCAAUCCCAUCACAAAGUCCAUGGUGAUCUUCUCCCACUUCCACACUGGAAUCGGUAAGCUCUGCAACUUUCCCGCAAGAACUCGAUGCUCAGCUUUAACCUGUUGGUAAGUUAGACAUCUAGCAACAAACUCGCCAACAUCAUUUUUCAUCCCGAGCCAACAAUAUAGCAACUUCAAGUCCUUGUACAUCUUGGUGCCUCCCGGAUGUAUAGCAUAGGGUGAUUGGUGUGCUUCUUGAAGAAUUUCCUCUCUAAGUGCCGAUUUCGCUGGUACACAAACCCGUCCGCAGAAACGCAUCAUCCUAACACCGUCCACAGUGAAGUCACCAGUGCAACCACCAACCAUCUUAGCUCGAAUCCUUCGCAACUCCACGUCGUGAACUUGCUUUUCCUUAAUCCUUUUCAAAAGUGUAGGUUACAUCGCCAAAGUCAUCAGCCUCAAAGGUGUAUCAGGACUCACCACCUCUAACUCCAACCGCUUCAUCUGCUCGAUCAACUGCGGUUGAGUAACAACAAGCAUCGCUAAGUUUUCCGUCGAUUUCCUACUUAGCGCAUCCGCCACCACGUUAGCCUUGCCCGGGUGGUAAAGAAUCGUCAGAUCAUAAUCCUUGAGGAGUCCAACCAUCUGCGCUGUCUCAAAUUCAACUCCUUCUGAGUGAAUAAAUACUUUAAGCUCUUGUGAUCCGUAUACACUUCACACCGCUCGCCAUAAAGAUAAUGGCGCCAUAGCUUCAAUGCAAAGACUACGGCCGCCAACUCCAAGUCGUGAGUAGGGUAAUUCCUUUCAUACUCCUUUAACUGACGAGAAGCAUACGCGAUCACCUUCCCGUCCUGCAUUAAACCACAGCCCAAUCCAUUAAAGGAAGCAUCACUAUAAAUCACAUACUCCGCUCCAGCAAUUGGCAAGGUUAGGAUCGGGGCGGUAGUCAAUCUCUACUUCAGCUCUUGGAAGCUCUUUUCACACGCAUCAUUCCAAAUGAACUUAGUGCUUUUAUGCGUGAGCCUCGUGAGGGGAGUAGAAAACUUUGCAAAUCCCUCGACAAACCGUCGGUAGUUGCCGGCCAAGCCAAUAAAACUACGUAUCUCGGUAACACUCGUCGGCCUCGGCCAAUCCUUGAUAGCUUCAAUCUUCCUAGGAUCCACAGCUAUACCUGAUCCUAAAAUCAAAUGGACCAAAAACGCCACCUCUCUAAGCCAAAACUCACACUUCUUUAACUUNCACGUACGGGGACCGGUCCUCAUGAUCAGAGACCGGUCUCCCAAACCUUCUACGCAGAGAAGCUUGAUGGGUCCGGUCCCCGACCCCUGAGUUUUUCCAAAAAACUUAAGUUUGAAUAAACAAGAAGGAAACCAAGUCUUCUAAACAUCUUUUAACAAUGAAAACUUCACCACAAAUUAUUUAUAAUCAUACCUGAGUUCUCAAGGGUCUUUGAUCAUAAGAACUUCAAUUCUUUUCGUCAAUCUUCAUCUUCUAAUUCUUCGAGACUCCAUCCAAACCAUCACGAAAUUCGCCAACUUAUAAAAUCCUUAACAACUCCUUUAACUAACGAGAAGCAUACGCGAUCACCUUCCCGUCCUGUAUUAAAACAUAGCCCAAUCCAUUAAAGGAAGCAUCACUAUAAAUCACAUAUCCCGCUCCAGCAAUUGGCAAGGUUAGGAUCGGGGCGGUAGUCAAUCUCUACUUUAGCUCUUGGAAGCUCUUUUCAUACGCAUCAUUCCAAAUGAACUUAGUGCCUUUAUACGUGAGCCUCAUGAGGGGAGUAGAAAACUUUGCAAAUCCCUCGACAAACCGUCGGUAGUUGCCGGCCAAGCCAAUAAAACUACGUAUCUCGGUAACACUCGUCGGCCUCGGCCAAUCCUUGAUAGCUUCAAUCUUCCUAGGAUCCACAGCUAUACCUGAUCCUAAAAUCAAAUGGACCAAAAAUGCCACCUCUCUAAGCCAAAACUCACACUUCUUUAACUUAGCGAAGAGUUUCUUUUCCCGAAGCACUUGAAGUACUAGUCUCAAGUGUUCCUCGUGAUCCGCAUCACUUCGGAAAUAAACCAAAAUAUCGUCGAUGAACACCACGACGAACCUGUCUAGAUAUGGCUUGAAAACAUGAUUCAUUAAAUCCAUAAAAGCUGUCGGGGCAUUAGUAAGCCCAAACGGUAUAACAGUAAACUCGUAAUGUCCAUACCGUGUUCUAAAAGCCGUUUUUGACACAUCCUCAGACUUGAUCUUUAACUGGUGAUAUCCCGACUGCAAGUCGAUCUUGGAAUAUAUACUCGAUCCUUGCAGUUGAUCAAACAGAUCAUCGAUCCUCGGCAACGGGUACUUGUUCUUGAUCGUGACUUUAUUAAGUUCACGAUAGUCCACACACAGCCGAAGUGACCCGUCCUUCUUCUUAACAAAUAAGACCGGUGCUCCCCAAGGUGACAAACUCGGUCGCACAAAAUCCUUAUCCAAAAGAUCUUGCAACUGUGCCUUCAGCUCCUUCAAUUCCAAUGGUGCCAUCCUAUAGGGCGCUUUUGAGAUUGGAGUAGUCCCGGGGACGAGAUCUACAACAAACUCAAUCUCCCUAUCUGGUAGCAUGUCUUGUAGCUCCGUUGGAAACACAUCCCUAAACUCCCGCACGACGGGGAUGUCCUCAAUCCUAGGGGUGUCGGUUUCACCCCGCAACACAACAGUAGCCAAGUAUGCUACGCAGCCUCCGCUGAUCAACUGUCUAGCUUGAGAUGAGCUAAUUGUUAUGGCAAACAGCGAACUCUGGCAUCCUUGAUAAACGACGUUCGUCUGCCCCGGCUCUCUAAACGUCACCGUUCGAUUCUUGCAAUCAAUAGUGGUGUAGUACUUGGUUAACCAAUCCAUGCCCAAAACCAUAUCAAAUUCUCCAAGUUUGCGCAAAGCAAAUAAAUCCGCGGGCAUGAUCCAAUCCCCUACUCAAACAAGGCAACUGUGAUAAAUCUCUCUAAUGUCCAAGGAGUGGUCGGGAACAACAACACGUCCCGGAUGGAACAAAGAUGUCAGUGGAUGCUAUGCAAUUCGGCAAACAGCCGAUCAAUGAAUGAAUGCGAUGCACCGGUAUCAAAUAAUGCACGAACUUGAAUACCAUAAAGUAAAAUGAUACCUGCAACCACAUUCUCAGCUACUGCCGCCUCCUCCGUCUAGGCCGCAUACAUGCGCCCGCUUGGGGCCUGUCGUGACCCCUAGAUCUGCCUUCGUACAAGUGGUCGUCCGGCCUAGUGGUGAGCAGAAAACGUCCCCUGGCUGGGACCCGGUGAUGCUGGUGCAGAUGCCGAAGAUGGCGCUGGCACUGAACUCCUCGGGCAGUCCGACUGGAAGUGGCCCUUCUGGCCACAUAGGUAGCACCUGCCCCGACUGCGUGAACACUGCCGUGGAUAAUGAGGACCACCGCAGAUCACGCAACGCGGAGCCUGAUGUCGAUCAGGUCCUCCUUGCUGAGUAGACGAGCCACGUCCCCGCGACUGGCUCCGACUCCUCCGGUGCCUUGGCGGCCUCCGUGAGUGCGCCUGACUCGCACCGUCAGCCGCAGGCCUCUUGCCCUUCCCCUUUUCCAAACUCUCGCAACGCUCCUGAAGAUCUGCCGCUCCUACCUCCACAAUAAGCGUGCGGUUCACAACCUCCCGGUAGGUUUGGAGGUUGGAGGACUGCAUGUCACGCCCCGGGACCCAACGGAAGCCCGCCCGGCACGUGCCCAGACCCGCCAUACGUCUAAAACAUAUAAGGCGUCUAAAAACAACAAUAAUAAAAGCAGUAAUGAAAGACAUCUAGGAGUAUCAGAGCAUGAUAAAUGUCUAAAUGCUACCACAAGGGAUAAGGAUAAAACUGUAAAUCCACUAAAUAAGACAUAAAGUAAAUACAAUAGAAAAUCCCAAAUACAAGUGCUAAAAGUAGGUACAUAGGUGGUCUCUACACAUGGAUACAAAAUCUCUCACUCUCCCAACUACAAAAAGAAAGAGCAAACCACCUAGGCAAAGAACCGCCCCUCGCUAGCUAGCUAAGCGAUCCCCUUGCCGCGAUCCCGUGCCUCCGCCGGUGCCGAAGGCUCUNAAAGGUGCCAUCUUGAUGCUUGCUUGAUAACUGUUGUUAUAAGCAAACUCUGCCAUCGGUAGAUACUGCGACCAUCCUCCCUGGAAGUCAAUCACACACACACGAAGCAUGUCCUCGAGAGUCUGUAUAGUACGCUCUGACUGCUCGUCACUUUGAGGGUGGAAAGCUGUACUAAAAUCCAAGCGCGUGCCCAAAGCAUCCUGUAAGCUCUUCCAAAUGUGGGAUACAAAUCGGGGGUCUCGAUCUGAUACUGUAGAAGUAGGUACCCCGUGCAAUCGCACAAUCUCGUCAAGAUAUACCUGUGCGAGUCUCUCACCAGUCCAAGUAGUGUGAAUAGGUAUGAAAUGAGCCGAUUUCGUCAACCUAUCCACAAUCACCCAAAUAGCAUCAUGCCCAGCCUGCGAGCAAGGCAAUCCCAUCACAAAGUCCAUGGUGAUCUUCUCCCACUUCCACACUGGAAUCGGUAAGCUCUGCAACUUUCCCGCGGGAACUCGGUGCUCAGCUUUAACCUGUUGGUAAGUUAGACAUCUAGCAACAAACUCGCCAACAUCCUUUUUCAUCCCGAGCCAACAAUAUAGCAACUUCAAGUCCUUGUACAUCUUGGUGCCUCCCGGAUGUAUAGCAUAGGGUGAUUGGUGUGCUUCUUGAAGAAUUUCCUCUCUAAGUGCCGAUUUCGCCGGUACACAAACCGAUCCGCAGAAACGCAUCAUCCUAACACCGUCCACAAUGAAGUCACCGGUGCAACCACCAACCAUCUUAGCUCGAAUCCUUCGCAACUCCACGUCGUGAACUUGCUUUUCCUUAAUUCUUUUCAAAAGUGUAGGUUACAUCACCAAAGUCAUCAGCGUCAAAGGUGUAUCAGGACUCACCACCUCUAACUCCAACCGCUUUAUCUGCUCGAUCAACUGCGGUUGAGUAACAACAAGCAUCGCUAAGUUUUUCGUCGAUUUCCUACUUAGCGCAUCCGCCACCACGUUAGCCUUGCCCGGGUGGUAAAGAAUCGUCAGAUCAAAAUCCUUGAGGAGUCCAACCAUCUGCGCUGUCUCAAAUUCAACUCCUUCUGAGUGAAUAAAUACUUUAAGCUCUUGUGAUCCGUAUACACUUCACACCGCUCGCCAUANAUGGGUCGGAACACAGUCUACGACCCUUCAGAAAGUCUGAAAUAGCUCGGCACACAGAUCAAACACUCGAACCUCGCGAUUUGCAGAGGUCCAGUGUGCUACACUGUACCAACCGAACGAUCCAAGGCCGCAAUCCACGCUAAAAAAUGCGGGCCUUGUCCUCGUCAUCGCGCACUACGAAGGGUAUACAGUGAAGUAGCCGGAAAAACUCCCUCUCGUACUCGGCCACCGUCCGCUCCUCCUGACGCAAGCUGCGCAAAUCCUGCUCCAUCUUCCUCUUGACGCUAGUAGGGAAGUAGUGCGCCAGAAGAAGCUCCUUGAACUUCUUCUAUGAAAUCGCCGCCAGAUCAGUGUUGGGGUUGUCCUGGAUAUCCAACCACCAACGGUAGGCCUCACCGUCCAAGAAGUGUGUGGCGAGCCAAACUCUUUCCCUCUCCUCCACAAAGGUGUCGCGGAAGAGCUUCUCCAUAUGCAUCAACCACUUCUCCACGAUUCAGUGGUCGACUUUCUCCCCGUCGAAGAUCCUGGGGUUACACCUCCUGAACUCGCCGAGCCGAUCCAUAAGUCGGUCCCGCUUGGCCCCCUCGGCCAUCACGGGGAAAGUUGCCCUCGCUGUAGGUAUCUGAGCCAGUGGUGCCGCAACUAUCUCCUCCCGUGGUGCGGUCGUCGGUGCCGCACGUGAAGAACUGGGCACAGGGGACUGCGCCCUCGGCGCGACAUCCACUACGAGUACUGGCGGUGUGGGAACCUGGGUCUCCCUAGAAGCUGCCGCCUGCUGUAGCAAGAGGUCCUCUAGAUGCUUUAUCCGUGCCUCCUGCCGCUGAGCCACCUCGGCCUUUCGCUGCGCCGCCACCGCCUGCUGUGCCACAAGAUCAGUGAGGACCGCAAGUUGAGACCUCAAGUCGCAGACCUCACUAGAUCCGGAAGUAGCGGAGGUCUCGACCUCCUCGAGGUGUGCCGCAUCAUCCGCUCCAGCAGAUUGGGAGCUUGUAAUCGGCAUCGUCACUACAAAGCAUAAAAGCGCAAGUUAGUAACCUGCGCUAUCGCAACCCCACUCAAGAUAACCGGACCCCAAAUUAUGCGAAAGUAAGGAAGCAUUCUUCACUACUAACUCCCGAUGUUACGUUAUUGGCCGCCAACGUAACCCUCCGCGAAGUUAGAAGCCAUAUACUUCAGUCAAACUCGAACUUUUCGGAGUUGUCAAGAUACCCAAUCAAGAUACUUUCGCCUACAAAUCAAAUAGACCUCGUCUCUCACGAGCCUAUUUCCUAUAGUCCGACCGACCUAAGGUUUGCUAGGUCCCCUAAGACUCAACCCUAGGCUCUGAUACCAAAUUAAUAUGUCACGCCCCGGGACCCGGCAUAGGCCCGCCCGGUGCGUGCCCAGACCCACCAUAUGCUUGCACAUAUAAGACGUCUACAACAAAAUAGAUAUGGAAGCAAGAAGAAAUAAAGUCAUUAGAGAUAUCAGAGCUACUAACAACAAGUAGAGAAAGGGGGAAAGUAAACUACUAAACAUAAAGAUAAAGUCAGUACAAAAGUCAUCACAAAAGUACUAUAAAAAAGGUGGUCUCUAUACAAGGUACAACUCUCAUCCUCUCCCAAAAGAAAACAAAGAGGAGGUGGACUACCUAUCGAACGUCCCUCGCUCACAAGCUAGCUCGUGGCGAUUCCCUUUCCGCGGUCCCUAGCCUCGCCCGUAGUGGAAGGCUUUGAAAUAAAAACAAGAAACAGAGGGCGUGAGAACUAUAAUUUAUAGUUCCCAGUGGGCAAUUACUAACCUCAGCACUAAGCACCACUAGGCCCCAAAAGAAAAGGAUAAGAUGCCGCAAGUAAACAUGAUGUCAAUGUGUUGUACAUCUACUCUAUCAAAAAUGAAGUAUGUCCAUGGCAUGACUAAUAUAUCCCAACAUAACGAGCAAGUAGAUAUCAUAAUCCAAUAUAUCAUUAUGUAAUGAAUAUGCUCUAUCAUAACAACCAAGUAUACUAUGAUGCAACAAGUAAACUAUCAAGUAUACUACAUGUCCCAACGCUAUGCUGCAAGCAUGUCAAGGUAAUUCAACUACUACUCCCUAUCUAGUAGUGAUUAACUUUUACAAAUUGAUGUCAUUGUCCAAUCUUGUUUUGGGACCUACACAAGUGUAGUCUAGCUUGUGCCGCCUAAGUGUCGGUGGUAGCUCUAGCAUUCCUACUCUAGGAAUGAGUCUAUCCCUCCCGACCCCGUAGGUUUCUCGAUGCCGCACGAGCUAAUAUAAGCCGCGUAGGCCAACUCCGGAGUGCCGGCUUGUGGGGAGCGACCCUCACAAGCGUGUGCGAAUGAGCACAAAUGGCAAGCAAGCGUAGUCAAUGUCUCAAGUGUCCAAUCAUUAUGUCUCUAAUAUGGUCAAAGCCACUAGCAACCCAACGGUCUAGUUCUAUGUCUCAAAGUGAUGUCCCAACACUCACCUUGCUUAGUGCCUCUUUAUGACAGUUAAGCAUUAUGAUAACCCACGUACAAUCCACAUUCUAUGUCCCUUCAUGACACUAGUACUAGGUUCACACAUAACCCGAGCUCAAUGCCGCUUUAUGAUAUUAGCUCCAAAUUUUUCCAUAACAGUCUAGUCCGAUGCCUCUUUAUGGCAUUAGCUAUCUUUUAUGUCUCUAACAUGCAUAGGUAUAAGUGCACUCCACAAUGCUCAUUUUCGUUGUAAGAAACAUGGUCCCAAUUCCAACAUAAGAAUGCCAAAUGCUAGUAUAAGCCUCACAUGCAACUCUCUACUACAUAGAGGUCCGAAAGUUCAUUGUACAUGACAUAGGGAUGUUAAGCAUUCUAAAAUUCACAAUAAAUACAUUUAGCAUGAAAAUGCAUGAAUUUCCACUUUACGAAGUAUAAAUCACCAAAUAUGAGCAUUUCUCAUAUUGUAGGCUAGGUCAAACCCACCGAAUAACGCGUAACCCUUCGUUUGCUCCAACGAAGAUGUCCACUAAGCUCCUAGCACCCUAGAAGCAACAAAAAGUGAGCUACAAGGAGUAAACGAAUAAAUACUAGCUCAAUCAUUAACCAACUAGACAAAAGGGCCAAAAUCUCACCUAUAGUGAAGAAAUCCCUCUUCAAAGCUCAAAUGGAAGUCAAAUGUCACGCCCGGGUAUCAGCGGAAGCAUAUCCGGCACGUGCACAGACCCGCCAUACACCUGCAGUAUAUAAGGCGUCUACAAAGAAAACAUGUCGAUAGAAGGAAAACGUAGAAGUAUCCUAUCCUGAUAUCAGAGCAAGUAUAAGUCUAUAAUACCAUCAUCAGAGGAACAACGAGUAUACAACCCAAAUCUAAACAUCAAAGAGCAAAAUCAAAACUAAAAUCCCUGAUUCAAACUACUCAUAUACAUCACAGGGUUACUCAAAAUACAUGUACAAUGGUAGUCUCUCUAUACACGGGUACAUCACCAUCGGCCGUGGCACGAGUAGCAAGGUGAUCAACUAGCAAACAUCAAUCUAUGUCUAGCUAGACGCGACUCCCUUGCCGCGAUCCCUAGCCUCUCCUGUAGGUGGCUAUGUAAAAACAAGAAUAAAAAGGGCGUGAGAACUAUUAUCCAAUAGUUCCCAGUGGGUAAGUCGCCAGUCUCGGCGAAUUACACCACUAGGCUCAUGAUGUACUGAAUGAAAGUAAAAGUAGUAAUUGCAUGAUAUAUCUAUACUAUUAACAGGUAAUCAAUAUGUAAUCCUACUUUCUGCAGUAAUGAAUCAACUGAAUAAUAAAAGCAUAGCAACUAUUGUAAGCAUGAACAUAACAUGAACGUGUAAGUGAAUACUGUACACUAUAACUGAUAAUCAUUCAUUACUGUCAUUUCGAACUUUAAUUGCAUUCAUAAGGACCUACACAAGGUAGUCCAGCUUGCACCGCGCCUAAUGGCCCCGUGGUAGUAUACACUCUCCACCGCAAUCCACUUCGGCACCCAAUCCCGCACGGGCGAGCAUCUGUCGUAUAGGCCAAUUCCGGAGUGCCGGCUUGUAGGGAGCUACCCUCACAAGCGUGUGCGAAUGAGCACGAUGGCAAGCAAGCAAAGUCCAUAGCCCAAUAUGUCUCAAUCAUCAUGUCACGUAGUACACUCUGUUCUCACUCUCGAUCUAUUGAUCGAAAUUCUCAAUAUGAUAAACAAUGAAACUUGCUAGUAUCCACUAGAUUAGUAACACAUAAAAGUAAUGCCAAUUUUACAUAUUGCAUUAGAAACUUCUCACUAUUCAUAUACUAUCAAUAGGGUCAAGAGAACGUAGUUGUUCUCUACUUUAUAGAAGCAUAAUAAACUUAUCUCUUGGUUAUUCAAUUGAACUAAACAAGAAUACUUUAGUGCAUGAAUACUUUAUGCAUGAAUACUUUUAUGCAUGAGUUCUCUCUACUUCAUAGAGGUUUCAUUACAAUAUCUCAACCGAUGCGGCGAUGAUGUUUCAAAUCCUUAUCAAUCACAUAAUCAUAAAAUGCACCUAUGUACCAAAUCUAUAGUAACAUAUAGAACAUAGGGGAGUUUCACUUGCUCUGGUUAGGUCAAACCCACCUAGCACUAAGCUCGAUCCAGCCCCAACUGAGUCCCGAAAUUCAGCUCGCUAGGUCUCAAACCUACUGAAAACUGAGUAUCAAAAUCCCAUUGAAGCAAUGGCCAAAAUGUCUGAAAUCGGCAAAAUUCUCACUUAGUACAUAGCAAUAACUUAAAUCCCUGUUUUGGUUCACUUUAGUACCUCAAGUUUAACCUCCAAAAGCUCUCACAAGUUAGUCGAAGAUAAUCCAAUGGUCGUGUCACGCCCCGGGACCGAUACCAAUUUGGGCCGGCCUGAGCACGUCAAACAGACGCCGAACGGACAGAGUUUCCCCUAUCUGCCCAAGGCUCAUCACCUGUAUAUUUUCAAAUAAGAAGUGCACUAGCGGAAGCAUACACAAACGGCUUACACGAGGGUAAGCAAUAGCCAUGAGUGAAAGAAAGGAAAACUAACAUUCAUUUUGUAUUAUGAUUCACUUUAGAUCAUAUACAUUACAUCCAACUUCUACAUUUUUGAUUCUUUACAUUUCAUUACAACAUUUCAUCAUUUCCUUCGUACAUCACAUUUACCUCAAAAGAGAGCUUUACAUUCUUUUCUUUACAUCAUUAAUCAUCAAAUACAAAAGAUGAACAUAGGGUACUCUAUUAGUAAAAUGUAAACCAAACUCAAUUCUGGUGGCCUCUAUUUACUGUGCGAUACCUUUACCGCAGUCGCUGGCCGGCUCGCUCGGUCCCGGCUUUAUAGAAUAGUGGGGUGAGAACUACAACAAAGUUCCCAGUGGGUUUGGCCCCAAUCUCACCGACUUUUCCACUAGGACUAACUCAGGCAUAAUAGAAAGGAUAAGCAAAAUAUAGUAACCAAUCUAUAACAUGAUGCUAAUAUGCCUAAACAAU